UGUUUUUUUUUUGUUUUAGAUCCAUGCAUCUGGCGGCGUAAACUUUGUAGCAGAUUCACCCUCUCCCGUUUGAAAAUACACACACUUAUUUUCAUACUUUUCUGCAAGUACGGAGCUUCAUGUUUUCAAUCUUUUUGCUACCAGUAAACUUGACACUAGCUCAUUGCCUAUUUGCAUUCAGUGGAAAAAGAAAGAAAGUAAAUCCACACACGUGGGCAUCACAUCUCUGCUGUGUGCAAUGAAUAAAACGGUGACAAAAGAGCGAAAAGGUCAAUGAAUGCGCGUUCAUAUCAAAAGAUUGAAAAUACAUGAGCCUUAAAUUUUGAAAUGGAGAGAGUAUUGUGUAUAUUUGUAUGUGACCACGCAUGGGGCCAUACACAGCUCUAUAUACAGUCACAUUGAUUUGUAUGCGGGCAGAUAUCUAUCAAGUUCCAUUAAUUGCACGCAUAAUUUAUAUAUAUAUCGCACAUACGAAAAAUGCAUAUGCUUAGUAUAUGCUACUACCAUACAUCACCCAACACUUGCAUGCAUCCAACAGCCCUAGAGCGCAGGCUCUUUAUCUCGAAUAUUUUUUCAGGCCCAAUUAGUAACCUCGCCAGGUAUCCAAGAUGCUCAAAUGUGCAGCAUACUACUAGCUAGUAGGAAUAGGCAAUGUGACAUGCAUGCUUUUGUUCAGCUACUACAGUAAAAAAAUAUCAGGGAGAAGAGUUGAAAUUUUUUUGUGCAGGAUAGAUGACAAGGGAUAGAUUUUGCGUUGGGCAGUGUGCACUGGCAAAUCCUCAUGGCUGCAUCGUAAAGAAUGUGCAAGCCAGUUAAUCUUGGAUGGGAAUAAAGUGGUACAAAAAAUCAGGGAAUUAGGAGGGGACUAAACCCUUCCAACCCAACAUGACCCAUGUGGCCUGGCGGCACCAGCUUUUCUUGGUGCCAGCCACCUUUGUGAUCCGGUGGGGCGGGAGGCGAGAUCUGGUCGUCUCCUCUCUCUCUUCCGGCUUCCACUGAUCCGGACCCCCUUCGGUUCUUCCAUUGCAAGCCAGUGGCAGCCUCGGUAAUUCUACUAUAAUUGAAGGCUACUUUUAUCUCCACCGCCACACACACACACACAAACUUGGAAAAGCCCAACAAGAAAGGGGGCAAAUUGCACAAGCAAGGUAAUCCUCGUUGAGGCACCAUGACUAGAGAUGAAAAUGAAGCAUCAUGGUGGUUCACUGGUUCUUGCACGCAAUGUUGAUUUGUCAUGAUUUUAUGAGUUGCCUUUUUCUGCUGGUUGUGAUAUUAUUUCAGUUGUAAAUGAAAUUCAAUUUCUUCUAUACAUAGUUUUACGGCUAUUUAUUAAAGGUUAAUAGUACAAACCGAAGGACCGCGCAUUUUUCUUAAAAUUGAAUUGGCUCGAAGUGCGUCGCGCGCCUUUUUGUCGGUGGCAUGGAUCAUAACUGGCAUGCAUGGUCUGUCCUUGCAUGGAUCUCAUAAUGCAUGGAUCUCAUAAUGCAUUUGACAUUGUUCACCCCUCUCUAGUUCAUAACUGGCUUGGUUUGCCCUCGGUGUCCUUCCUACUUCGAUCUCACAAUGUAUUUGUCAUUGUCCACCCUCUAGCUCUUCAAGAUCCAAAUGAUAUAUCGUCGUUCGUUCUUACGAGGGGCGUGGUACACGAUGGUAAGCCCUCAUUUGAGAAACACAUUUAACUUGCACAAACAAUGUACAGGACAGCCAUUGUCCCCAUGUUUCCUCUAAAGAUCUAGAGAAAGUAGAAAAAUAUCCUAAAGGAAAAAAAUGAAUAAUAAUACCCAAAAAAUAACUAUAUGGCCAAUUUGCCCCAUUGGCAUGCCUGAUGACUGGAAAGUUUCCUCACGAGGAAGUCCCUGCAGAAACCUGGCCAUGCAGCCGGCGCUCUGGUCCACAGGGACCGUGUGCACGGCCGCACCAUCUCACCAUGGAAUGGCCAGGACGGACAGCGCUGUGACUGUGGCCUGCUGUGUGUGAGGCCACCCCAGCCAGACCAGGGAAAGUGGUGGUGGGUGCCGCCGCGCGACUGACGACUGCAGCGAGCGGCUGAAAGGGCUUCAGGUCUUCAGAACUAGAAGAGCAGCAAAAGGCCACCCCCGGUUGUUUGUUUCCUCCUUGUUGUCUAGCCCGGCGCUUCCAAACUGCUGGCCAUGCCGCUCUGCGGCUGUAACGAAACUGCUCUACGCUGCUGUGCUCACACAGCUGCUGGCUGCUGCCGUGCAGCGCUAGCUCUUGCAAGUGCCCAUCUGAAAGGCGCUGAUUACAUGCAUGCUAACUUGGGGAGGCAACUUAGCUCCUCUCGUCCCCCUGCAUCAUCAUGGAGUGUUGCCCUUCUCAUCACCUUGUUCUGCCUCUGGUUGUAGUUGCAGAUGAAUUAUUAGGCUAUUUUCCUGGUUUGGACCCUGUUUGUGGAGAGCGAAACAUUCACUUUCAUUCAUGCUGAGAGUCCAAUUAAUUCAGUUACUAGGUGUAUGUUGUUUGCCCCCUCUUUUUUUAAUCUUCCAACCCAAGCUUUUACCUAUCCCAUCCUUUUUUUUUUCAAAAUGUAGGUUGUUUUAGUUUUGUCAUGAGUCAAACUUUGAUAAAAUUUAUUAAAAAAUACACAUAUAACAUCAAAUCAGUUUAGUUAAAUCCACCGUGGGUAUAUAUCUUUAUAGUGUAUUUAUUUGCAAUUAUACGUAUGCUAAUAUAUUCUACUAUGUACUCGGACACUCAGUCAAAGCUAGAGAUGUACGUAUAACUUUGGACAAAAACCAGAAUGAACCAUAUUUUUGAAAUGGAGGGACCAGUACAGAUUAUGAACUUUUUUCUUCAGUGUCACGGGCCCACAUAUCAGAUGUACGUGUUGUGCCGGAAUUGUUUUCUAUAUUCACUUCAAAGAUGCAUAGUGCACCAGCAUAAUCUCCACUAUAAAAUUAGAACUCCUGCAAACCAUCCCUUGCGCCAGAAUUAAGUUACAAUGUGGUUGGAUGGACGUGCAUAACAAAGGACUCGGAGUAUCUCAAGAAGCUCCUACCAAGUGGUAAAAUUUCUAGAGGCAGAUGAGCUGGUUGGGACCAUGAUUACCCAAACUUCAGUGCACGGAAAGAUAGGUGUAUAUCCUAUCAACAAGUUGGGGAUGCACAUGUAAAAUAAAAUACACAACGACUCGCUCGCCUCAAUCUGGCUUUUCUGAAAGGUUUAUUACCCAUGUAAACAGCAUUACUGCCUGUCAGGAAUUAAUAAUUCCUGCUAAAAGCCCAGCAGUUACCAUUACGCCCCCUCAUAAUCCUCUUCCCUUCUCGUUGCGACCCCUCUCUCUCCUCCAUUGAAGGGCACCGCUAUUUAACAGCCUUCGCGCUACCGCCCCCAACCUUAUUCUCUCUCUCUCUCUACCCACUUCUUGUUCUUGCAAUUGCACCCCCGGCCCCUCCUCCAGGGACGAGGAGAAUUCGAUCCCAAUUUACCGCGAAAGGUCGUCGGUAAUUGGAGAGAGAGGGGAGGGGGCAGCAAUGGCGUCUCCCGCCGACGAGGCUCUCCCGGCGCUGCCGCCCAUCAAGACGGCGCCUUUGCCGCCACCGCCGUGUGCCUCAGCCUCGGGCUCGGGCUCGGCCUCGGCAUCUCCGUCGGUCCCGGCCCCGGCGCCGGCGAAGGACGGCGCGGAGGCGGCGGCUGAGGAGGAGGAUCAUGAGCCGUCGACACCGACGUCGGAGGAGAGCAGGCUGCGGCCGCCCGCGGUGUGCCCGCCGGCCCCGCGUAAGCCGCCGGCGACGCGGCUGCCGGUGAAGCGGAAGCCGCCGCUGCCGUCGCCCGCGCGGGUGUUCGUCGCCGUCCCGCGCGACCUCUCCACCGUCUUCCGGGCGCUGCCGCCCAAGAAGCGGAUCCGGGUGUCGUGAUGCUGCGAUCUGGCCGCAAUUCACCACCGGCUCCCAGGCUUGGUCGAUUUCUUGGAAAAUUCUUCCGAGUUCUGGCUUUUCUUCUUCUUCUUUUCCUUUUUUCCCCCUUGGGUUACUGGUACCCACGGCCAUGGUAUAAAUUAUAAUUCGCGGUAUAAAUAACGUGCUAUUUUUCUGCGUGUUUCUUUUUCCUUCUUUUUUGUUGUGUUUGCGUGAGCGAGAAUUUGUAGCUCUAGAAAUGAAGAUAUUGCUGUUACUGAAUGGAAGCAGUUGAAAGAAAAGCAAACUUGUAAGAAAAAUUCACACUGAUCUUGUUAAUUAUGAUACCUAGCAGAAUUAUUUACCAUAACCUCAGUUUUGCUUGGUGCUGAAUCUGCAAAAAAUUUGGAAAUUCAGCCAUUAAUUGUCGAUCAUAAUUUAGUGGAUAUAGAAAAACCAGCGCACAUGAAGCCAUGAACACAGUGACAAACUGCUAAUUUGGGUAGAUCCACCAUUUCUUACAACAAGGCAGCACAGAUUUGUUAAUUGUGUGAUAAUCCUGUGAGAAGUUUGAAUUUUUUCGAACUUACUUUACUGAAUGCUCUCGGCAGUGGACGGAUUAGAUACCCUGCCCAUCAAAUCAAUUCGGCAAAAGAAAAUGGCUCUGAUGGUGAGUGUACUUUUGGUUGUGUUUGUCCGAAUGCAAGAGAGAGAACAGACAGAGCGAAUCUUCCAUUGAUCAGGACACGACAUGAUUUUUCUGUUUUUCUCACUCAAUUUCCAUCGAUCUUUGCAGGGUUAAAGCCUCUCUGAACGCCUAAUUUCCCAAUCUGUCCUUCUACUCUCUGCCUAUAAAUUGCAAUGAAACUGUUCGUUUGAGCUCUGUUCAUCUCAUCCGAAGCCUUUUGUUUUAACUACCUCUGUACAAUGAACUGUCGUAUCACAUCUUCACAGCUGAGAAGAAUCCAAGCUCCCAAGUCCCAAGUUUCAAGAACAUGCAGCUGAUGGGUCAUGACAAGGAAAAAGGCCAGGCAACAAGUUUUCCUCUCAGGGUUCUUUGUCUUGUGCUACGUUGGUCAGUCGGUCCAUCCACAUCUAGCUCACAAGCAGUGCCACAGUUCAGCCAUAUACACAUCGACUGCCAUACCCCACCAGUUCAGGUAUCAACACUCCAAGUGCCCUAUCCUGAUGAAAACUGUAAAGUCCCAUAUGAAUUUUAGCUGGUAAAACUCGAGCCAGAGAUAUCCUUCUAACCACAUUGGUUAGUUACACGCUAUUUCUCAGGAUCAAAGUCUUGCAGUUACUACAGAAAAGUUCAGUUCAGGUAGCGUGGCCUUGUGACCUUGUCUGUAGAAGGUUAUGAUGAGAAAAAAGUCUGUGAUGAUGCCCUGAAGAAGGGGGGAGAGGAAGCUGAGCAACUGGAAAAGCUCCCUCACGGCUCACAUGGGUUGUUACUUGCAGUUACGGUCAGUGUUGUUGCCUCAGGAACAGGUCGCCCGAGCACUUUAUCCCAGGAUGACGCGAGGGAUCAGGGCUUGGAAAGCCCUUCUGUUACUCCUGCAUGGCUGCGGCUGCCGUUUUUUCACCUGCUGUAACAGAAUCUGUGGUCAGCAGCACAAGGAAUGUCUCCAAACCUACCCACUUACUAUUUUUCACGAGUGUAAAAAAUUGUCCAGGCUAGCUGAUACUAACCCCGAGAAAGAUACCAUUUUUUUCCAGAUUUGAUGUUUAAUUGGACACUAGUUAGGCACUAGACUCUGUCACUACAAUGUGGGCCCGGUCAAUGGCAAACGGCAGAAAUGGUAUGAAUGGCCAAGAUGAUGGCAACACGUUGGGUACUGGAAAACUCGGUGCACGCACACAUGCAUUCUCCAGUGAAGAAAAGUAAAACAGAGGUAAAUGCGAGGCUGUGAGGUCAAGCGGCCAAGCACGUACGCAUGCAAGUAAAUACAGUAACCUAGGAUUCUUUCGGCAGCGGUAAAUGUUUUUGUGCAUGGCUGGCUUCUCAACGGACAACGGGGAGUGCAUGGAAACGUUACAGGAGUAAAGUAAAGUAACUUCACCUCCCAACCGUUGGCUUUCCACAUUUUUCUCUUCGGGUAACAGUUUUUUUAGAAGAUGGCCUUGCCUUCAGAAUACAAGUUGUAGGAUCAGUUCGCAGCACGUGUGAAGGCCACCACAGUCUAGAAAUUAAAUCCUAGGAAAUUCCUUCCCCGCUGUGAAUCGAACCUGCGACCUGCAGGGAGGCCGGUGCUACUAGGGCUCUCUGCUAACCAACUUGGUUGCAGGCCUGUUCGCCUCUUCAGGUAACAGUAGGAUGCCUGCCCAAAGAGGUAUACUGGCAGCGAGGUAAGUAUGUGGAGGAGGACUCGUCUUUCUUUUUUCCACGCCCAUUUAUUUACCCAGCUAAUGCCUGCCCCGUUUUUCAUGCCAAUUGUAUUCCCUCCGAUUUUUUAAAUUCCAUCUCGUGCCAUGUCAGUGCAGCUGCAGGUUCCAUGAAGACGAAAAAGAAUUCAUAGACCCUUUUCACGGCACUAGUGGCAAGAUGAUCUUAGUUUAUCACUGCGCACCGCCUCUGAAACUAACUUUCCAGUAUAAUCGUUUUAAAAAUGAGAUUUUGAACACGCACGAUAUGCAAAAUAUAUAUAAAAGAAAUAAUGUGAUAGUACAUACGUAUCAAUUCUGUUGAAAUCAUUCUAGUUUCGGUCCCGGCAGAAAUGUGCGCGCUGCCAGUCCUGCUGCCACCGGCCGGCAACGUGUCCACUAGCCCAAUGAUACUCGCUCCAUGAUUAGAAAAACUCCCUCCAAAACCAAAUUUCAAAAAAUCAAAAUUCCUCCAAAACCGUGCUACCUGAGACUAUACUCCCGUAACAGUGGGCGGCAAUCAUCAAUGGAAUGGAAACAAGAUCACCUCCUUCUGUCGGAAUCGAUCUGGGAUCGCUCUCGCUGCCAUUUUCGGGGUCGGCAUGCAUUUGCUUCUCACCUAUUGCUCUGUUUCCAUCCCCUUGAAAGGAGAAAAGGAGCACCAGUUGAUUUCAGAUCGUUGGGGACGAUGGCUUUUCCCCUCACGGUUUGCUUUGAGCAGGAAUUGCAUCGCAGCACUAAAGCAUGAAUGAAUGCAGCUGCACGGCAGUAGAGACUCUCCCACCCAACAAAGAUUUGGGCGAGUCAGAACAGGCACACGGCUUGCUAAUUUUCCAGAUCCGAAAUGGCCUGCUGCUUUAACCCUGCCACACCAACCAGUAGUCCGCUGGGCGAUGGUAUGGCACGGCCAGGACUAACCCUGUUGCUGCUUUUAAUACAGGCUUGCUUUGCCAUUGAUUUUCCGUAACCACUCCUCCUGUCCAGCUAGGACGAACUGGGAGUCCUCUGGGCGAUGGUAUGGUAUGGCCUGCAUUGCUUAAUGCAAGACGCAGACAGCGGCAAAGGGCAAGGUCCACCAGCGGCGGCGAUCGCUUUCUGGGCCCCGCUCGUCAGGCUUCCAUUCCUUCCUUCUGAAAACUUGGGAUGCCUGCCGCCGCUCAAUGCGAUCUGCCACGACACGACGACAGAUCGGAAACGUCUCGUACGGAGCUGACGCUGCUGUGUCAGAGUAACUUCACCAGCAAAAAAAAAGAAAACUAAUCAUAAAAUGCCAAACGGUUGAUUGCGAAUGCUGAAUAGUAAAGGGGUAUUUCUUUUUGCGAAUGCUGAAUAGUAAAGGGGUAUUAUUGCCGGCCAGCGGGAAACGCGAAGCACGGAGAUGGGUCAUCAUGCGUGCACGUCAUCGAUCGCGAACCGGAUUCUCUCGAUCGAUUUUUCUCUCCAAGAACUGGGUAACGAGAAUGCACGCACAAGCAAGUGCGAGCCUUGCCAUGCAAGCAACGUUGAUGCUGCGCGCUGGUAGCUGCUCCCCUUUAGCCUUUUGUCCACGGCAAGGAAGCCGUAGUACGUACUAGUAGGAUAGGAAUGCCGACGCUGUCGUCCAGCAUCGGCCGCCCGGCGCCCACCCAGCUCUGGAUCGAUGGACCGAUCGACCAUGCACUCCCGGUGACGUACGAUAGGUUCUGCCUUCCGCGUAGGCAUCCCCUAUAUGGUGAUGGUCCUAUCUACAUUGGGUGCCCCAUCUCUCGUCAAGCAAUCCAAUGCAAAGCUGGGACCAAUGAUGAUGAUCCCCAUUUUUCCCUUCACCAGUCACCACCGUACCUAAGCUCUGGCUCGCUGACGUUGCAAGAAAGACCCGGCCGGGCCGGGCGCCUUGUGCUGAAGCUGAACGCGCCUCGCGCCGCCGCCGGCCAGCACUAAUCGUCGUCUCGCAUCGUGCAUUCGUGCGUGCAUCGCCCGCGUUUUAGUCGUCGCAGGGAAAAGGGGAGCGUUGAUUUCCUGCUCGCCCGCGGCCGCGGGCGGGGGCAUGCACGGGGCCCGGCCGGCCGGCGCCUUGAAUGUGCCGUGCGUCCUGGAUCGUGUGAGCGCAUGGUGGAAAUCGAUCCGCGCGCGUGUCCGUGGCGCGCACGUGCCUCCGGACGGACGCCCUCGUGUCGUCGUGCUUUGCCUCGCCGCGCCGACCGACACCGGAGGCGGUCGAGCGCGCGGCCGGCGGGGAGUGAUCAAGAGGCGACAGCUAGCUAGCCGUGCAAGGACGUACGUGCGCUCGACGGAGCUACAGCAGGGAGGUUGCACGAGAGGCAGCUACGACGACUACGAGCCAAUUGAUCGUGUCAUCUGCAGCGGCCCCGUGCCUCCGAUCCAGCAGGAGAUCCUACAGCUCACGUACGGAGCAGGAACGGGCGCGCACAUCAGGCCGGCCGGCCAAGCGUGUAAUGAGCAGUGAAAUUAACACUGUGCGAUACAACAAUCGGUCGCUACGGAACGGCCAUGCAGGAUCGAUCAUCUAACGACGACGACGACGACGCUGCGCAUGGAACGGCCGGCCGGCGCUGCUGGCUCAUCACGUACGCUACGUAGUAUACGGCCUGCACACCGUGCACUGUAGUAAACGCGCGCACGCAUACACUCUUGAAAUGGUCGAACGGCACCUGCGCCCACGAGACCGGCCGGUGUGCCAUAGCCCUGGAAAACAAAGGAUUCUGGCGUGCCGACGACGGGUAACCACCCGUACACGGCAGCCGUGACGAGUACGCACAUCCGAUCCGAUCUCGACAAGACUUUAGGAAAAGAAGAGGAGGUCGUAUUCCACAUCAUUACGACACGGCCAAACUACGUAUCCUGGCUACCUAGCUACUACCUCACGCCGGCAUGAUGAUCAUUUGCAGCAGCCACUCAUGAGCCUCGACACACGCCGGCCCAAUCAUACCUUCCAGGUCUCUGGAAUUCUGUUGGAUCCAGAGCCUCUACGCUUCUCCUAGUAGAAAGGCUAGAGACACCAUAGGCAGACCAGAGGUCCUCUGGUUGGUUGAAAAACUGAGCAGCCAACUGCACUAUAUUUUUCAGGUCUGGACACCAGCAGUUAGGGCAGGCAUGGAUACGUGGCAGCUCGAUCGCCAGGCUGCUCGUUGCAGUGCUUUCAGACUAGCUGCUGAGCACCCAACAGUAGCAGCCACUGGGACAGGGGAGACAUUAGGCAUUAGGCAUAGCAUCUGCCCAUCUGCUCAGAGAGUUGGCAGGCACAGGCAGCACACAUAUGCAGUGCCUCGUGUAUUUUAGCUGAAGGGGCAAACAGUAGUAGGAUCAGCCUAAUCUGAUAACAUUGGCAUCAAGAGGGCUGAUGAAAUAUCACAGAUGUGUUGCAAAUGCUACAAACUGCAAAAAAGGAGAGUGGUUGCGUUUCAGCAUUAGAAUUCGUUUCCCAAAAUGUCCUGAUGCUAGGCAGACCAGAGGUCCUUUCGUUGGUUGGAAAACUGAGCAGCCAACUGCAUUCUGUUUUUCAGGUCUGGACACCAGCAGUCAGGGCAGGCAUGGCAGCUCGAUCGCCAUUCGCCAGGCUGCUCGUUGCAGUGCUUUCAGACCAGCUGAGCACUCUACAGUAGCAGACAUUGGGACAGGGGAGACAUUAGGCAUUAGGCAUAACAUCUACCCAUCAGUUCAGGGGGUGUUUGGCUCCCCUAGGCUAAAUUUUAAGCUCCUGUCACAUCGGAUAUUUGACACUAAUUAGGAGUAUUAAAUAUAGACUAAUUACAAAACUAAUUGCACAACCACAAGGCUAAAUCGCGAGACGAAUCUAUUAAGCCUAAUUAGUCCAUGAUUUGACAAUGUGGUGCUACAGUAACCAUUCGCUAAUGAUGGAUUAAUUAGACUUAAUGGAUUCGUCUCGCGAUUUAGUCUAGGGAUUCUGCAAUUAGUUUUGUAAUUAACUCAUAUUUCGUCUUCCUAAUUAACAUCCGAAGCUCCGAUGUGACAGGGUUAAAGUUCAGCUCUUGGUAUCCAAACACCCCCUCAGAGUGUUGGCAGGCACAGGCAGCACACAUCAGUGCCUCGUGUAUUUUAGAUUUUUAGCUGACGGGGCAAACAGUAGUAGCAUCAGCCUAUCUGAUGACAAUGGCAUCAAGAGGGCCGAUGAAACAUCACAGAUGUGUUGCAAAUGCUACAAACUGCAAAUGACAGCGGUUGCGUUUCAGCACUAGGAUUUGUAUCCUAAAAUGACCUGCACCUGCUACUGUGCUACAUGUGCAGCCUAACCAUCGCCAAUCCACGCAAAAGGGAGUCAGGUGUCCUAAUGCUAGGUGCAGUUCACCACUUCAGAUGAAAGACCUAGGCACCGAGUCUGGUGACUGGUGAGACUGUUCAAUAAGCUUCGCGUUCUUGGGUGACAUAUAGAAGGCUAGGCUUUUUUGAAUCCGUAGCCACAUCGACACAUCGUAGUACUUGCUGAGUACCCAUCAGUAGACCUUGGGAUAGGGAGACAAAGCAUCUACCCAUCAAUUCAGUUUGGCAGCCAAUAUAUGUACUGUCCGUUGUCUCCUUGAGGCCAAUAAUAACAGCAUCAGUCUACUCUGAAACGUUGACAUCAAGGUCAAAGUUGCUUUAUAAAUGCUACAUGCUGCAAAAAGGGAAUGGCAUCAAAACUGUUUUAGAUCCCAAGCGAACCAGCCAGAGACAACCCAACCAUCUGUGUUCAGUAGGAAGUUCUGCAGUCUGAUAUGUCUUUUGAUGUUGAUGCCUUGAUGUUAUGGUACAUUCAACUUGGGUAAAAUGAUACUACAAGCUAAGGUUCACCAUCUUGGGUGACAUAUAGGUAGGGGUCUUGAUCUGGUUGUGGGCAGUACAAAUCAUCUGCUGCCGACCAGGAAAGUGCUGCCACUGAGGCAUCCUCGUCGUUGUCAACAGCAAUGAGCUCUUCAUCGUCAGAAGUCGGUUCGGCAAAUGGUGCGUCCACGCUCUCCCAGUUCAGGUCAUCUCUGCAGAGAAGGCUAGGAUGUUCGCUGACCCAUUCAUCCAAAACAUUGAUGUUGUCCAGGCUGAUGGGAUCGAUGGUGUCCUUAAGCUUGUUCCUGCGUGACAGUAGUGAACUGUAAGUAGAAACUCAUGGUGGGAACUACACAUGAAAUUAUUCCAGGUUUUUAUACCUUUCUCGAAGCUUCAGAUUGUAACGAACAAAUACUAUAUCAUGUAACCUUGAACGUUCAAGCCUGCUUAGCUUCAUGGAAUGGAGAUAUUUGAAGAUAUCCCAAUUCCUUUCACACCCUGUUGCACUACAACAUUGGCUGAGGACUCGGACUGCAAGACUUUGGAGCUCUAGGGUUCCAUUACCGAAGUUGUCCCACCAUGCAACUAAUAAACAAAGAUGUAACAUUGUGAGGUUAAUGCAAAUAGAAAGGCAAACAUCGUUAUGUAAAAAACAUAGAUUCUUUCUCAUUAUUGCGAAAUUCAGAACCUCAGACACUGCCACAUUGAAUCAUAGCAUGGAAGUCAUUCUUACCUGGAUUAAGUUUCUGUCUUUGACGAACUGCAAUUGGAAGGCCAAAGUCACCUGUUGAUUUCUUGUACUCCUCAAGCUGGAGAAAUAUCUUAUCUUGGACCUCAACAUCAGGGACUAAACUAGCUAUUGUCUUCAUAAGCCCCCUAAAUGCAUAGCUUUGCAUCUUAAAAGAGGGGCUAAAGUAAAUACCAGGAUUGAAGAAGCAUCCUGCUCCAUGCAACGGACUAUGAAGCUGCUUCUCCAUCCUCGCAUCGAUCACUCGAACAUAUGGUCCAUACAGACAAGCCUUGUGCAUCAUCCUUGCCCUUAUUGACUCCUUUGCCUUUUCCAUUGCAUCAUAAAGAUAGCCCAUGGAAGGGUUUUCAUUACUAUCCACCAAGCGCAGGACGCGCAACAAUGGCUCAGUGACCUUAACAACAUGUUUGCACUGGGCCCAAAAGUCAACAUCUUUCCAAAUAAUAGCUGUGACAUCUUUUCCAACACCACCUUUAGCAUAAGUUGAUUUCACCCAUUUGUUGCUGGUAACCAUUUGGUGGAGCUCUUUUUCAAAUUUAACAAUGCAUUGGAGACUAAGAAAGUGAGUAGCAAAUCUCGAGAUGGAAGGACGACACAGAUCUCUACCAUUUGUGAAUUCUGUCCUCAUUAAAGACAAAGCCCAAGCAUGAUUGUAUAUAAACUUUGUUAUCUUUCUGGCUUUACCUAAAGUUUCAUCUAUCUUAGGAAAAUAUCUAGGAUCUGCAAAAUUCUCCAACAUUAAAUCAAUGCAAUGUGCCGCACAUGGAGACCAAACAAACGUGCCAUAUCUUUCCUCAAGAACCUUAACAGAAGCCUUAUAUCUUGGAUCUAUAUCAGUAAUAAACUGAACGAUGUUUUUAGGUCCAACUUCUCUAAUAACCUGAUCAAAUAUCUCAAGUAAAUCUUCCCUCUCUGUUGAGGUAUCUAUGGACUUCAAAAACAUAGUACCACAUGGACAGUAUACAAGAAAAUUGAUUAUGGAACCCUCUCCAUUGUCCUUUUGUCUGUCAGCAAUAAUUGAGCAACCACGAACACUCCAUUCUCUCUUAAGAUCAUUAAGAUAUUCAUGAAUGUCUUCAGCAAUAUGUUGCAAUAGUGGCUUACGUAGGUCAUGAUAAGAUGGUCCCUUGAAGCUCAGCCCAGCAGAUACUAUGGCUUCUAGCAUAGGCUGAUAGAAAGGAGAUUUAGCCGCACUGAAGGGUACAUUUGCGUCGUACCACCAUCUAGCCAUAGCAAUUUUUGCUUCGUGUAGCAGAUCAUUUGGAGCUUCUGCACCAUCCAUGCCAUGUUGAACCAUGUCUUCUGAAGCCAUAAAUGCACCGCUGCUAGGCUCUGAACCUGCAGCAGCUUGCGGAGGAAAGUACCCUGUUCUUCGCUUCCUAGAUGGUCUAAAUUGGCUUUCAGAGCCUCCUUCAGUUGAUAAAAUAUCAUGCGAAGAAUCUUCGAUACUUGAAACGCGGAUCUCUCUAAUUUCAUACCUUCUCUCUUCACUUUUCCACUUCUCAUCAAUUUGCUGUAUUAUCUGACGUUUCACAUCAGCAGGCACCUUCUUGCAAGAUUCAACUUGCCCAGGAAUUCCAGCAAGAUGAUGUUUAAAGCGAGUAAUACCGCCACCGCCAAUCUUUUUGCCACAAUGAAGACAUAUAAUGGCAUUUCUUGAAGCAGCAUCCACUUUUGCAUGAACCCAAGCAGGAUCCAGUGGUUUUGAAGAAGAUGAAGGUGAUGCCAUGGAGACGCCUCCAGUUGAUGCAGCACCAGCUACCUCAGUUCUAAUACUAGUACAGAGAGAACAACAAAAAAACUUUUAGAACUGUCACCAGAAGUAUUACCGGGCAUAAAUUGUGUAGCAUCACACCUUGUUCCAUGAAUAACCAAUAUAACUACAAGAGAGCAUGACACUUAUCAUAGCAUGUUAAUUCCAUUAAAGUACAUAUCAGCAAAUAAACUUCGCACUUGUUCUUGUGCAUGGCUUUACUGCACAUCUGUUCAAACUUUAGUAAAAAAAUGAAAUGGCGCAAGCCAAAAGACUUCUAUACAGUUAUUUUGCAUACAUCAUGCAAAAUCAAAAUCUUUAGCACCACAAAAGCAUGCACCAUGCAGACUUCUAUUUGUGCAGUUAACAAUGACGCUUUCCAUUACUAGGUCAGGCUAGAAAAAGGGGGGAUAACAACAAACUGAUGAUCGAUAAUUCAGUGUCUUCACUGUAACGAAGACCAAUUACCAGCAAUGCAGCCAAGAUUACAAUCCACGACUCCAUGGCUUCUAGAAGCACACACAAAACGGUCUUAUCGUCUCUGCUUGCAAGCAAUCCGGGUGGUAACCGGCGACACAUGACCGCUGGGAUGAAAACCGGCCGGUUUCGAUAAAUCAAGUCCAAACUCGAACUGGGAAAAUGGGAAGCGCUAAAUCGAACACUUCUCACCUCUCUCCAGGCAUCAAGCGGUCGAGGUCGACGGUUUCCUCCUUGGUGCCGAGCUCCCCCAGGCGGCAGAUCUGGUCGGCGAGGUCGGAGAGGAGGAAACCGGCGGGAAGCUGGGAGGAGUCGGCCGAGAAACCGGAAGUCAUCCACAGCGGCCGCUGGGCGGCGGCUACCGGCAGAGAUGGGCGAGGUUUUCGUGUGGAAUCGGGCGGCUACCGCGGCGGUUUUCCAUCGGGGCUGGCAGACUAUCGAUGUGGUCGACGAGGAGUAGAGGACUGGGGUGGAAACGGUUUUCACUAUUUCCGCGUCUCCAUUUGUGUAGCGCAAAGGGUAAAAUUGUCAAUGCUCAGGUAAUCAGGUGUUCCGGAGCGUAACUGAUUUUUGACUGCCCCAUGAAGCUAUAAUCGUUGUUGUCAGUUCUCUCUCCCAACUCUAAUAAGCUUGCAAUGAGUUGGGUUUGAGGUUUCGGUGGUGGGGGGUGUCUUCACUACAGUCAAGAUGAUGGCUUGUAAAGGAGCCUGAACAUGAUGAUGGAGGGCUUUUAAAGCAGCUACAAAACAGAACUUCUUUUCUUAAAAACAAGACCCAUAGGAUGUAAUUGGUGAAAAUAGACACUCAAAUCUAAGUUAAGGCUCAAAUCCAUGUGGUUGAGAUGCACAAGAGCACACCUCUCAUCCCAAUCAUGAGCUAAGCUCGCUUCCCAUAAUUCUUUUCUUAAGAGACCAUAUAGCAAAAAAUUUAUAACGGCAAAACUUAAAAAGUAAGGUGUACCUUUUGAUAACAUUCGAGAGGUUAAUAUGGACUUUAUUUCACGGCAAUGGCAAUCGCCAAACCAAUUGUUCAAACAUUUGCCUGGAAUUGUGUGAAACCUGUAGUUACAUGUACAGUAUUCCAGUGGAGUUUUCGUGGUUCUCCACAAAGAUGUAAAGUGUGCACAGUUUUUUUGUACUUGGCCCGUCGGGCAUUUCUCUUUUUCAAUAUAGUAGCAGCUCUCCUGCUGGCUCGUUUCAAAAAAAACAUUUGCCUGGAAUUGGCUAACAUACACGCUGAGCAAUGGACCUAACAGAGCCACCAUACAUAUAAAGCCUAGUAGAGGUAUGAUUUAAACCUUUGCUUAAAGCUUAUUAUAGUUGUUACAACGGUCCAUCAAAAUUACACAGGAGAAUUUGGCAAAAAUACAGGGGCAACAUGGCUUCCUGAUAACCAACUACUCCCACAAAUGCUGACCAACAAACGAAGAAAUUCAUGUAACUGAUUCUUCCAGAGCAAACUGAAAGGAAAAAAGCUCAGGUAAAGCAUCGCCAUCUGCUGAAAUUCAGGUUGCCGUUCAUGUUGGUGGCUGCCAAGUCCCUGGUUUAAAAGUGGCACCAGUCCCUGUUGGUUCGGAAGUCCUGUUGAGAGAAAAGAAAAACUUUUGAGUUUGAAUCAAUGUAAUCAGAUGAAGAUAAUAGCAGUUCAUUUCUUCUCAUUUAGCUCCUACAUCAGCUAGAGCAAUGCAUAAGUCUGUCCACUUUCUAUACUUUUGCUUUCCGCAAUACCCGAAACAAAUUGGGAAGAUUUGACCUAGGUGCCCAUAAGAUAUGGUCAGAUCCAGUAUCUGCCACCAUGAUACUAUUAAUCUAUUAUAUCCGACUUCAGUUUCAAACGCUCAGAAGUUAAACUCUGUUUCUAUCUCUGAAUUUUGUAAAUUUACUUUGGUAUGCAUGUUCCUUGCAAACACUGUUUUACACAUAAAUAAACAGCAUAAUUGUUUUAUGCCAGAAAAUUGCAAAACCAUGCUGAAUGUUUGAAGGUAGAUAUAGCAAAAAAGAAGGCAGAAGAGCAUAUACUAGGUAUGUGCUGGCACUAUUGACUUCAAGAAGGGAUCAUAGUAGAUAACAUGUCAUCACAAAUUACAGCAUUUGCAGAGAAAAGGUUGAACUGAAAUUUCACCUCUCAUUAUCUGUUGUAGAAUCUUCUGUAUCAGUUGCAUCCUUAGGCCUAGAUACCUCCUCAGGCCCUUAAAAAAAUGUGGACGGAAAUGUCACCAUGCUUGUCAAAAGUAGCCACACUUACAUUCCUAGUCAGAACAUUAUGAAAAGAUAUAAUGUUACCUUUCUGUUGAUCUAGAGUACCAGGGAACUGCUGCUUCACAAAACUCUGGAGAUUUGGAGAUUCAUAUUUCCCUGCAUUUGGAGGAACAUCAAUUAUCAAAAAAUCAUUAGUGAAAAAGGUAAGGGCAAUAUGAGAUCUCUUUCCCUCUUCACCAACAUAACAGAGUGAAACAACACAGGAAAAUUAAUGAUAAUACAGGUCAUAGUAUAUCUAUCAAAUAUCAUGGAAGGGUAUGACAUCAAGUAUUGGAUUUCCUUUCUUCAAGUUUCUUGUGGGCAAGAAAAAACUAAGCAGCACAAAAAGGUAAAAGAAACAAAGCAUUUGUCUAAAAGUGGUGCUGACUGUUGCAGACAGGAAGAAUGCUAAAUAAUACGUUGGAGAAAAUCUACAGAAAGCUAAAAGUGCAGAUAAGCAAGGAUUUAAGUAACAAUUACGAGAAAGAACAUACCAAUUUUCUUGACUGGUCGGAGGCCGGCCUUUCUUUCCUCCUCUUCUUUCUUUUUGAGAACUUAAUUGAAUACAUAUUAAACAUAUCAGUGGAGAAACACACAAGUUAAUGCCCAUUAAGUAAACAACAAGAUGGAGUCAUGAAUAACCAAGACUAAUGUAGAACUAAAUAUGCUGCAUCUUGAUCUUGAAGAAACAACAAUUCAGUAAAGAGGUUGUCACACCACAACAGGAGCAAACGGAUGCCGGUAUGAAUAAGAUCUUAAACUGCAGUGCAACUAGAAUGAAAAAAAAAUCACAAUGCAAUAUGUAUCCAGUAAAUAACUUUAAGGUCAUUGUAGUCUCCCCCAAUCCCCUAUUUUCCACUACAUUGAUGGCAGGAUUGCAAAAUUUUGCAGUGGCAAAUAAGGAAUUGCCCAAUACCAUAAAUCAGCAAGCUAGGAUGUACCUCAUAAAACAUGUCAGAUUCUUGCUCAACAGCAUGCAUAAUGGACGGUGAGGCUUACUAAUGAAAGCAUAGGUGAUUUUACAAGUAGGAAACAUCAGAUACAUACGUUCAAUGUUUUGCUUGACACGUUCACGUCUCGCCUCCAGCUCAGCCAAUUCCUAAAUGAGAAAAUGGCGCAGCGAUACAUCAGCAUCAGAUGCAAUGAGCAAGUUGCUCUCCUUGCUAAGUUUGAAUUGAUAAUAAUAAAAGCAAAAAAUUGAAGAACAAUGCCGGUGUCAUGCUUCUGCUCUUACUUCUGGCGUUGGAGCUUUCUUCCUUUGGCCAUUCAACCAGCAAAUCCACUCGACUACAACAAGCACGACAUAGCUAUGAGAUGCUGUUUACACACUCAACAAUAGAAUUUAGAAUCAAGGCCACAAUCCAUACAUGCCUGCAAAAACGUAGUGGCAUACCAGUUAAUUGGGAAUUUUCAGUCAAACAACAAAUCCUCACCGGACAAAUGGAGCAGGAAGGGAGGUAGGUAACCUGGAACGGUGGUCGAGUCCUGGUCGGCGCCCUUGAACUCCACCCACCGCCUCUCCUUCACUGUUCCCGUGUUCCGCCGUCGAGAAUGACAACAACAAGAAGAAGCAACACCGAGAUUUGCUUAGCCCAAUUCAUGUGCCUUCUGCCCUCCUCCUUUUUCAGAGGAGAUCAAGAGCGGAGAAACUAGAAGCAAUUUCGUGCCAGUAGGGGGGAGCAGGGGAGAGGAAGGGGACACGUACUGGCGCCGUCGACCUCCUCGACGCGGGUGAAGUAGCGGUUGCCGGUCUUGUCGACGCCCACCUGCGUCCGCGACUGGAACAUCCCCAGUAGCCGCGAAACCAGCCGCUUCGACAUCGCCGCUUUCGACUCUGCCCUGCUCCCGGCUUGCUCGAAUAGGUCGCUGCUUCCCCCUCUUCGCCGCCUGCGGCUCGCCGGAACCGGUCGCCACCUCCACCUCCGCUGGCCGCCGCCGGCUUGCGUAUCAGUCUGACCCACAGGCCACAGACCGACACCAUCGCUCAACUGGGUGGGGGCCAAAGUGUCGAGCUGGGCCAUGUUUGGGCCGUUCCAGAACAGGCCUUGCGGCCCGACACCACAUCGCGGGACGUCGGGCAGAUUGCUCCCCGCAGUCCCGCUUGAUCGAUCGUGCCAUGGCGAUUCUGCAGCUGAAGCGGCUCAAGGCGAUGCGGCGGCGGCAGCAUCUUCGCCGCCAUCGAACCCAAGCCCGCGGUAUGCUUCCUAGCCUCUGUCCCUUAGGGUUAUUUCUAGGUUUUUUUUUAUCUUUGUUCUCUUUGCGCGCGCGUGCCAUGGCGUCUGUUCAGAUUAUUGCUCCGCAGUGACCACGCUUGGGGGAGAUUGCCAUGCUGUGCUUGGCUUCUCCAGAUUAUCACAGUUGAGAUGUUUUUCCUCUUUUCAACCAGUUGGGUGUCGUAAAAUUGUUUGUGUUAGGCUUAUGGCGCAAAAGCUCGAUAGAGUAAACAAAUCAGUGUACUGAUCUAUAAAAAUCGGCGUGUUUGAUUUCAUUUUUCUUCUUCGGUUAUUGGCUAAACUCUAUGAUAACUGUGAUGCAUCGCACCUCAGAUGGAUCGGUUGUUUCCGUGGCCACAAGAAAGGGCUUGCCUUGUGGUCAAGAUGGUAAGUCUCGAGGAGGCAAAAGAACUAGAUAUUCAAGGCACACAAUUCCUGAGGUAAGGCAUAAAUGUGAAACAAUGUUUGCAACUUUUGGAUGGCAUUCGACAUAUAUGUUCCCCAAACUUGCACAUGAAGCUUACAAAGGGCAAAUGGAUAUCAUAACCUUUGUAUGGAGAAAGCCAGAUAUCUCCAGCUGUUUAUUUGCAGAAUGUAUGAAAUCAAAAUGUCUCUGCAUCAAAAAAUAUUUCUUUUUCAUGGUAGGCAAUCUUGUGAGGUUUCCUUCAAGUUGUGCCACCAUUUGAAUCCAGUGUUCUCAUGGUGCCAGAAGCUUUGAGAAAUAUUGGACGGAAACCUCAAAAAACUGUUUGGAAUGCAGAAAAAAGGUUUUCAUACAUGAAGAAACAAAUUAAUAUCAUAACUCCUACUGAGAAAUGCAUACCUGCAAGUUUUAUACAUCCAUCGUUUACAGUAGAAUGCAUGGCUUUAAUCAUCCAAACUUGAGGCGGUCAAGCAUAUCUGUUAGUUGAAAUUUAUUUGUCUUUUACUUAACGAUUUUUUUUACUUCGAGAUAUAUAAAAUUUUCAAAAAAAUGUACUGCAGCAAGCCCUGAUAACACCUUCUGAAGUUGUCAUACCCUUAAAGUGCAAUUUGUUCUUAGCCUUCUUCUGCAUCUAACACAUGUAAUCAUUUGUCAGCAUUAUAGCAACUCUUAGGAAGUAAGUCCAGCGUAUUAUCAUAAAAAUGAAGUAUGUUUCCUUGAUACUUUUCACACCAAUAAACAUUCUUAUGUGGUUCAUAGCCUGAAUGUCAUCAUCUACCAACAAUACUACUCUGAACAUGUGAUGGCCACACAACUUUGCAAAUGUGUCUAGUUACAGUAGCAGCGCUAUCAGCAUUGUGUUGUUCUCCAUAGAGCACUUGAGACAUUUUUUAUUUCAUACAUGAACUUCAUGUUGGUUUAACCUUCCUAUUGAAGUAACCAUGAGCUUGUACAGUUUCAUCAAUGGAAAUUUCUCCUAUGGUUGUGUUUGCAGGUUGCUUCAUAUACAUUCUUUAUUGCCACUUCGAGAUGCUGCCCGUGCUGCUUCUGUAUCUCGCGCAUUUGUAAAUUCCUGGAGGUGUCAUCCUAACCUCUACUUCAGUAUGAAAACUCUCGGGUUGAAUGCAACCCUACAUGGACAUGAUAAAACAGAAGACAAAUUCAUUAAAAUUAUUUAUCACAUUCUGAAAAUGCACUCAGGUAGUGGCUUGAAGACAUUUGGGCUUGAAAUAUAUGGUCAUUACAACUCCUGUCAUCUCGAUAGCUGGCUUCACCUUGCUCUUACAUCAGGGCUUGAAGAACUCAUCCUUAAGUUGGGAAUGCCAAAUUACAACUUUCCAUGCUCACUUUUACCUGGCAAGAGUAGAGACUCGAUAAGGAAUCUUUGCCUUAGCUUCUGCACCUUUCGUCCUACGGCUAGACUUAGCUUGAGAAGCCUGAAGAAGUUAUAUCUUAGUUAUGAGUACCACGGGUGAUGAGUUAGGGUUCCCUUCCUUCUAUCAGAUUCUUUUGCUUUGGAGAGGCUGGAACUCCUGCACUGCAGUGACAUAUUUCACCUGAAGAUACCUUACGUGCGGCAGCGGCUCAGCCACCUGGAGGUGAAAGCAUGCCAUAGUCUGAAGGUGACAGAAAUCAAAGCUCCAAAUCUGUCCACUUUUCUUUUCAAAGGCAAUGACAUUGUACAACACUCGCUGGGAGAAGCAUGCCAAGUGACAAACCUAUACAUGUCUUGUUACGAUGCCAUCCAUUUUGCUCGUGUCGACCUUCCGCUCAUCGCACCAAAUCUCGAAAUUCUUACCAUUGAGUCACCCAGCGAGGUACACUCUAAAACUUAUCGCCACUGUAGACUAGAAACAAGCAUAUAGUGGUAACAAAGCAGUCUUUAUUACUUGGAACUAACUUGAGAACCUUUAUGCAGGAGGUCAGUAAUAUAGCAAUUCUACCCAGCACAUUCCACAACCUGAAGUACUUGGAUGUUUGUGUUCCUGGAGAAUUCGUUGUCCCAGACUAUGAUUACUUUUCUCUGGUUUCUUUUCUUGAUGCUUCUCCUUUCUUGGAGACUUUCAUCUUGGAUAUAUAUGUAAGUAAAUUUUCAUAUUGCAAUUUGCAGACAUACCUAAUGACUAGUGAAUCGACUCAAGUAUCUUGCAUUCUCUUAUCUUUAGUUGCCAACGGUGUUUGAGGAUCCUGAAUCAGUUCUUGGAGAAGCCUCACAUAUGCGUCGGAUGGCAGAAGUACACCAUAGCAACCUCAAGAGGGUGAAGAUCACCAAUUUCCACCCCACGAAAUGCCUGGUUGAACUGAACAUGUCAUAUUCUUGAGACAGCGGCAUCGCUUCAAUGCCUUGCAUUGGAUACCUCUUGCUGUUGCGGCGAGAAGUCUUACAGCAAAUCUGGCAAAUGCUUCAUCUUGGCUGUCGGAGCAUACAUCAAGGGGAAAGUUCCCUCUACAGCUAGGCUAGAUUUUCCGAAGCCUUGUACGUACUUCAGAUGUCAAGUUAUCUUUUUGAGGAAACAGGAGCCCCUCUAGACGUCAAGUUAUCAUUGCUAUAAAAUGCUUAAUAAUGAGGUAAUUUAAAAUAUGGCUUUUGUAUCUGCUUGCUAAAUUAUCACUAGUCAAGUUCAGAUGGCUUUUUUAUCUGCGUCUUUGUUUGCCUCGUACUAGAAUUUUAGUUUGGCUUUGGCAGCAUUUCAUGCACCACCUACAUGGAUGCAAUAUUUUUUUUGUUACUUGUGUUUUCUAGACGUGCAAUAUCUAUGACAAACAUAAAAUUUCUUUUCCACCUACCUUUUGCUCAAAUAAUUGCGGUCCUAGCCUUUUACACGUGGCCACAGCUCCGUGGUGUCAUCAGUUAUGCUGGUAACAAGAGUAUGUCUUUACGCCAACACCAUAGAGCAAGUGUACUCUAUUCAUAUGCCGUCUUCGCCAUACCGCACCGACGCAGGGCCGCACCGCACCGCACGCAAGUUGGUCGUCUGGUUUCGUCACCCACCGGGUCGCACGCACCACCGCCAGAUCCAAACCUCCCCGGCACGAGACGAGGAGAUCGGGAUGGAGCUGGAGGUGGGGGCGCCUUCGCCGGCGAGGUACCUGCUGGGGGCGGCGAUCAUGAUGGCCGGCGUGGUGCUGCCGCUGGCGUACAUGAUCUUCCGCAGCAAGCGCUCGCCGUCCUCCUCCUCCUCCUCCGCCGCCGCCGGGCCCUCCUCCUUCUCCAAGCAGACGUAGGUGUGCUCUGCCUCUCUUCCUUCCCGCGCAUCUAUCUACCCUGAGACGGAGACGGAGACGGCGGUGACCGUGCGUCAGGUCAUUGCGCUCGCUUUAACUGAUGAUCCGCGACGCGCUCUUGUUUCAGGAACAAGGGGCUCAUCUGAUCUGCUUCUUCCCCGAUGGAGGUGUGAUGGGCGGUGUGGAUUAGUGAGUGAGGGGUGGAUCGAUAGCGUCCCUUGAUGAUUGUAUUUCUCUGUUUUGGCUUACUGAGAAUCUGCAACUACCCCUCGAGAUUGGGCAUCAUCCGAAACAUCCAAUUAUUAGCUGAUUUCCUGAUUAGUUAGCUCCUCGUGUAUCCCAGAAUGCUUGCUUCUUUGACUGAUUUGAUAUGGUUAUAAAUGAAGAGUGCACUUUGACUACAUACAAGCAGUAUUCAUAGAAAUUUUGAUUUGGCACAACAAGUAAUUUGCCCUCUUUUCUGCGAACUGGCUGGCUGGAUUGUUACGACAAUUGUGUGGAGUUCUUCUUUAUGUUAGUACUAUAUUAGUAGUAUGGCAAGGAACAAGAUUCUUGUGCACUCGUGCGAUUCAUUCAUUUGCAUUGUCAGCCGUCAGCUCAUGAUGUUGUGGAUGAAUGCAAACCAAAUUGUAUCUAUGCUUGUUGCUUGGUAGCAGAAGAUAUGGUUUUUGCAUUGGUAGAUUGAACAAUAGAAUGGAGUUGCAUUCUGGCACAGCUCCUUACCCUUCUGUUUGUUAUCAUGUCACUUCCAAUAUUUCUCUUUUUUGGCUUACCCGGUAGUCUGCAAGUACUCCUUGAGACUGGGUGUCAUCAGAAACAUUUCGAUUACUACCAUUUCCUGAUUAGUUAGCUCCUCUUCUAUCUCAGAGUGCUUGCUUGUUUGACUGAUUUGAUACAGUUAUAAAUGAAGAGUGCACUGUGACUACUUAAAAGCAGUAUUCGAACAAAUUUCGAUUCGGCGCCACAAGUCAUUUCCCCUCUUUGCUGCUGACUGGCUGGAUUGUUAUGACAACUGUGUGGAAUUAUUCUUUAUGUUAGUACUAUAUUAGCAGUAUGGCAAGGAACAAGAUUUUUGUGCCAUCCGUUCAUUUGCAACAUCAGCUCUCAGCUCAUGAUGUUGUGGAUGAAUGAGAACCAAAUUGUAUCUAUUCUUGUUGCUAGGUAGUCAGAAGGUGUGGUUCUUGCAUUGGCAGAUUGAACAACAGAAUGGAGUUGCAUUCUGGCACAGCUCUUACCUUACCCUUAUGUUUGUUACCAUCUCUCUUUUUUGAACCAGAGUUUAUUACCAUUUUCAUUUCCAGUAGCUGAUACAUACAUUUUUACAAGUUGUUUGUUGUCUGACAAUGCAUGCGACAAGACGCGCCUUGUAUUUGACUUCUUUUCACAACUUGGGGUCUUAGCUCUUAACAAUUUAAUCGUUUGUGUUCUUGCACAGAAGUUAGAGUAAACAAAUCGGUGUGCUGCCCUAAAACAAUCAGUGUGCCUGAUUUUGUUUUUGCCCUUAAGUUAUUGGCUAACCUCCAAAAUGCUUCCUGCGUGUCUCUUGUAUUUUCAGAAUUCCUGGAGAUGUCAUCCUAAUCUGAACUCCAGAAAGGAAACUCUGGAAUUGAAAGCAAACCGAUACAGAAAAGCCGAUCAGAUUCUGAUAAUGCAGUGAGGCAUUGGCUUGAAGGCAUUCGGUCUUGCAAUGUGUACUACGAUUGUUACAACGUUGUUCUUGUCAUCUCGAUAGCUGGCUUCACCUUCCUCAGAGCUUGAAGAGUCCAGCUUCAUGCUGCUCCACAUGCCAGAAUACAACUUGCAUGCUCACCGUUAUCCAAAAAAUAAAAAAACUUGCAUGCUCACCAAUUGCUUUGACAUCGCCCCACGCCUCUUCGCUGUUCUCGUCGUCGUAAUCAGUCGCCGACGCUCGUCGCCGGUCCGGUCGCCGCCUCCUCUCGUGGCGACCGGGCUUAUGUGGUGUGACCCAGUACAGCCCAAGGUCCUGUUUGUAUACGCUUUUCUGGAACUUGCUUAUCUGGCAAGCAGGUUUAUCAGAUAAGUCUGCUGUCUGGAGAAUUCGCUGUUUGAAUAAGUUGGAUGUUUGGCAAUCCUGAUUAUUUUAUGUCGAUUGUCUGUCCUAACUGGUACAUUGACCUGAGUGCUCCUAAAGCUGAUAAUAGCUUAUUUUGUUGUGAAUCUAAGGAGAAUAUAAUAAUUCUAAUAUCUUUGGAGUUUAUUAAAUAGAAAUUGCAUUACAAUAAUAUGAAAUUCAUACGAUAGAUAGAUCAGUCUAGUAUGGAAACAUUUAUCAUGGUACAGUAACGAAUUACGAAACUAUAGCGACAACAAUAGCAUCACGUAAUGCAUCCAUAUCCAUGUCAUCUUCUAAAGCAACACCCCCACCAUCUGUGCUAGGUUGGGUUGGAUUAGCAUCAUCUUCAUGAAAAUUCUGUUCAAAAUACACGUCAUGUAUGGCACUAUCUCUGAUGAAAUUGUGAAGAGCCAUACAAGCAACUAUAAUUUUGGUAGACGGAGCCGGCGCCGCUCGAAGGACGGUGGAUGCAUCCGGCGGCGGACGGGGUCGGUGGCGGGCGCGGGAUCGAGAUGGCGCGGGGGGCGGAUGGCAGGGACGCAGGUGUCGGUGGGGUGAGGGUAGCGAGGAAAAUCGCUUCGUUUGUGCGAGAAGCGCCCCCGAGACCACGUACGGGAUAGGUGGUGCCCAGAUUGUGGGCUAAACGGAAGGUGGAAAUAAGCAAUACGUUUAUAUGAGCUUAUGGCUUAUUUCCAUUGAUAAACAGGAAAUAAGCUGAUACAAACAGGCCGCAAGACUGUUAUGGAAACGUGGGAAAAUGGGCUUGGUCGUGGUUGGGCCGUUUCUUGAAGAGGGCCUAGUGGCCUCCCUGCACAUCCCAGACUCCCAGUGACCUCUCCCUGCACUUUUGUCCUUGUCGGGAGACCCGGGACGGGUGUCGCGGGGCGGUCGCCGGUCGGCAGAGCUCGCACAGUCCAAGGUUCCUUCCGCAGGCCGAGGGCCCCACUCGGCGGCGCCGGAGUCGUCUCGUCUCCUCCGCCCUCGCUCCUCCGAAAGCAGGGAGAAGGGGGCGGCGGCGGGGAACCGUCACACCACGGGGAAUCGACUACAUUCUGCCGCGCUGACCGUGACAUGGCGAUGCUGGCGCUGAUGAGGCUAGUGGCCAUGCGGCGGCGGCGUCGGAGGCAGAAACGCCAGCGACGGCGUCGAAUCCAACCCCGCGGUAUGCUCCCUUGUUCCCUCGUCGCUAUCUCGGUUUCAGAAAGUUCGAAUAUGUGCGCGUCCCAUGGCGACUAGCCGACUAUAGCUUGUUCAGGUAGUGCUCCUGCUCCACACUCCACAGUACUCCAUUUUGGGGGAGCUCGAGCUUCGAAAAAAAGAACUACAUUUUGGGGAGAUUGCGAUGUUCUGCUAAUUCUAUAUCACUUUGCGGUUCAUCCUUGUGAAGCCUGAGUCGUCCCUCCCUCCCUCUCUAAGAAAGGGUCUUUACAGAGUUGGAUAGGGCAAAUUAGAUGCCUCUUGCCUGGUGCAUCGUUGCGCUUGGUCCCGUUGUUUCAAUUCGGCAUGGGCUGCACUCUAUGAUAACCAUGAAAAAUUGUAUUUUCAGAUGGAUCCAUUGCUACAGGGGCUGCAAGAGAGGGCUCACCCUGUGAGCAAAAUGAUAAUUCUCAAGGAGGCAAAACAACGAGAUAUUCAGGGCCCACCCUUCCAGAGGUAUGGCAUUAAAUGUAAAACAUUUGUUGCAGGUAUCAUUGGGAAUGCUUGUUCUGUGCAAUUUUGGGUUGUGAGAGACAAAUCUUUGAGAUAGUGUUUGCCAUUUCUACGGUGUUCUCAUAAUUACUUACCCAUACAAUUAUAGGUGCAUCAGUGCAUGUUGAUAGUGUGAGGGGGGGGGGGGGGGGGGGGGGGGACAAUACGCUCUAGGGAUUUCAUCACAGUUGGUAUGAAAUUAGUAUGUUUCAACAUGUAUGAAACUUUUAUCCAUAGUAGACAAUCUUUGGGGGAUUCCUUCUAACAUUACUCAGCAGGAUAUGUUGCUCUCAUGGUGCUUCCAUCAAGAUCAAAUUUUCAUUGGGGUUACCUUUGGUUUUGAAAGAAAAUGCCAUUAAAAAUCAACUAAAUGUGUUCUACUCGGGAGAAGUAUGUAUGAAGCGCUUACCUGACCAUUGUUCACGUGUCUCAUUUUUUUCCAAUUCAUUGAUGAUCUUCAAGCAUCUGAUUUAUAGUUAUGGACACAUGUGGAUGCUAAUUAUGAGUUCAGUGUUAGAUGUAGGUUGUUAUUUAUUUAGAAAAAAUAGGGAUGUACAAUGAUUAGUUAGACAUUCCAUAUAUAUUUGUUGUGAGCUAGGUCAUUUACUGCAAGUUUUUGUUACAAUGGCAACCUCUGUAUGAAGAUUUUCACUGACAAAGAAAAUACGAUGAGAUGUUAGACUCGAAGGGUGCCACAAGCUUUGGAAAAUGUUGGAAGUACCAGAAGAUUGUACCAUGCUUGAGAAGAUUUCAUUCAAGCAGAAAUAGAUUAGGCUCAUACUUUCCAUGAAGCCUUGAGGUUUCACUUUUUCCUUGCAUGGUUGUGCCAUCUAUACACCCUUUGGCGACACAUAUAUAAAGAGUACUCUUUUUCCAUAAAAUAUUACAAAUCUCAAGGCAAUUCCAACAAAUGAGGAUAUCCAUAACUGACCUGAGUUUUGCACUUAUGCUAAUCUUUUUGGCUGUGCAUGCCACUGGGAAUCUGUAUGCAUACUACAUAUCUCUUACUAGGUCUGUAUUUCAGAUUUUUUGUGUGACCCCAUAAAGCAGUGAGCUGGAUCCAGUACAUUUCAUCCUCUGCAGCACAUUACCAAAUUUUAAAAAAAGCAUGGCUCAUUCGUUGUUGUAAAGUGUGCUUCCUUGAUAUAUACAGUAUCAUUAAGCAUUCCUUUGUGGCUCAGGUUAUUCUCCUUUAGUGUACAUCUUGAUCUCUAGUGGUAUGUGAUGCUCAUUCAACUUUGAAGAUAUGACUAGUUAUGGUAGCAUCUCAGCCAAAAUCUUUAUCCAAUCGAAAAGCAGCCAUGUAUUAUUUAGUCACAGUGCCUGUUCUUAGGCACAAGACCGAAGUCACCUUGUGGCCCAUAGUAAGCAUUUGUUUAAGACAACAGGUUAUGAAAAUGCAGUCAAUCAACAUCAGUUGCAAGAAAUUUGCAUAAGACUUUAUAAAGUCUCUAGCUUCAGAUACAUGAAAGUGUAAUAAAAUGGUUGCCUUUGGAUUGGUGAUAGCAUUAGGUUGGCUAGCUGAGGGCCUGUUUGGAAGACAGGGAUUUUGCAGGAAAAUCAUGGGAAGGGCUACAAACUGAACUUGUCAUCUACAUUUCAAGCAAUACACCUCUUUGACUUGCUGCAUCUUUGACUAGUAGAUACUAACUCCUUAGCUACUUGACGAUCUUGACCUCCAUGCCUGUCGUACGAACAGAUCAUGUGGUCAUUACCCAGAACUAGAUACUAAUAACUCUGCCAAUAGAAUAUUUUCCCCACAAUCCUACUCUUGUACAGUGCUCAGUCUACAUGCUAGAAGCAUGCUUUUACCUCUGUAUUGGAGCACGCAUUGUGUUAAUUUUGUAGGUCACUUGAGAUAGAUCACUACUCAAUAUAAUCAUAGUUGUCUUAGUUUUAUGAUUGUAGUAACCAUUGCCUCAUACAGUUUAAUCGAAAACUUUCCCUAUGGUGUGCAUGCAGAGCAUCUUGUAUCAUAUACAUUCUCUAUUGCCACUUAGAGAUGCUGCCCGUGCUGCCUGCAUGUCUCACAAUCCAGAGGCCUCGAGGGAAGGGUAAAGCGGCGAGACCCCCGUCGCCUGAACCUAAGGUGGAGGAGGAGGAGGAGGAGGAGCUACCUUCCGCACACGCCUCUGGGGACGACGAGGAGGAGGCGGAGGAGGAGGAGCAGCAGGAGCAGGAGGGGGACGGGGACGGGGACGGGGAGGCAGGGGAUGCCCAGUCCAAGAUAUGGUUGCAAGGUUCCUCAUCCCUCCCGAAGCGUCCGAUACCUGAGCAUUUACGCCCGCUGAUUAAACCGGUUGGGACCAAGUAAGUAACUUUAAAUAUUCUUAAUAAUGUUCUUAUGUUGAAAGUUACAAAAACUAAUAAUUUAUAUUAAUGACUUGUGCAGGAGUUGGAUUAAGCUCAGUGGGGGUGACCACAACCGUAAGGCCAACGGGAUCCUUGGCCUUUUGUGCAGGGUUCACUUCCCUGGCUUGGUGGUGUACGCUGGACAGCAGCAGCCGGCCUACACAUGGGACCACUACGUCGCCGCCCCCGACGUCCCUGUUGACAGAGGAGAUUCCCCAACAUCGCGGAGCGGGUCAAGGCCGAGCUGUGGGUAAGUACUCCUCGCACUAAAUUGCUCAAUACAUCACCUACGUUCGACAUUCUUGAAAUAAUAAUUGUAUACGCGUCUAUAUGCAGGAUUUCUAUAGAUGCCAGGAGGGAUUUGAGGCCAAGGCGAAGGCCGUCUGUGAUGUAGCCGUCAAGAAGCUCGUGAAGGACAUGCAUUACGAGGCGCGCAUCCAGGCCAUCAUCGAAUUCCACGCUCAAUACAGAUGGAUGAAGGUUAGAAAAGAGGAGGCAAGAACAAUGAACCUGACUAAGGACCAAUUCAUGAGGGUAAGUAAAGAACGUUGAUACUUACUAUUUAAGAUUAAUUAGGCUCAAUUUCUUUUUCAUAUGUCACACGCUUGAUGUUGUAGGUGCCUCCGUGGUGGUGUCGUGCGCAUAUCCAGUGCUGGGAGAAGAUGGUCGACGUGUGGUUGGAGCCCGGGUGGUUGGAGAACCACCUUGCUUGCCGGCAGCGGCGUUUGCAGAUACCGACUGCACCACACCAUCAAGGCAGCCUAAGCCUUGAUGAAUAUAGAGAAAAAUGGGUACGCAACUUCAAUUCUUUAUUCUUACGUUCAGUUCUACAUAAUUCCUAAUCAUUUUGUAUUUUUUGCCGCAGUCGGCGUCGCAUGAUGGCCGACCUUGCUCCCAGCUCAAGGCAUGGGUCCUCUCCAAAAAGGGCAAGGCGACGGCCGAUAUCGAUUUCAACCCAGACGACCCGUCCGAGGCGUACAGCCAUCCUAGCAUACACAGUCGCGUCAGCGAGUAUACAAAGAUGGCUAGGGAGGUUCACGGGCCAGACUUCGAUCCGAGCUCCGAGGACAUUGAUGGAGAAAUCGUGAUGAAGGUGGGAGGAGGCAAGAAGCAUGGUCGAUAUUGGAUUGGCGAUGGCGUAAUCGACAUGGCCUCUACUCCCUCUCUCUCCCAAAUCCGAGCUAGGAGCACGGACUUGAGCCCGGCGAUACAGCCACGACCCACCACUUCACAGUUGCAGAUGGAGGCUCUCCAGGUUCUUUCUCUUCCAUUCAUUUUUCGUUUGUUGUUAUACUUUAGCUUUGCAUUAUAACAUUGCAAUGAAAUAUUGUAGGCCCAGGUGGAAGAAGCAAGGAAGAAACAAGAGGAGAUGGUGGCGCAGAUGGAGGAGAUGCGGCGGAGGAUGGAGGAAGAAAAUCAGAUUAGGAUGGAGCAGAUGUUCCAGUACAUGCAGAAUUUUGCUUUGAGCAUGGGUCAGUCUUUGCCUCCGCCACCGCCGAUGUUGUUCCCUCCGCCUCAGCCAUCCACGACUACUCCUGUAAGUCACUUGACACAUUGUGCUUAAGAUUCAAUACUUUAAUUUUGACAACUUUAGAUGUUAGCUCAGAAUGUCCUAUCCUAUGUGCAGAAUCAAUCGGUGGCUUCGAAUAAUGAAGAUCAAGAUUUGUCGCAGUGGUCUCCUUAGCCUCCACGGAACUAGACUUGGUUGAAACUAAAUACUAAAUUGUGACUUGAACUUGGAUUUUUUGAUUGUUUCGUGCUUAUGUUGAAUUAUGCCUGUGAUGUUUAUGAAUAAUGUUUCUAAUGGUGGUUGUGAAUUAUGCAUGUGAUUGUUUAUUACAAAUGUCUGUGAUGAUGUGUAUUGUGAAUUGAGAGGGGUUCGUUAUACGUGACAAAACGGGAAAAAAAGGGGGGCUCUGGGCACUUUGCCGAGUGUUUUGGCUUUAACACUCGGCAAAGGGGCCAGUCCCAGGUCCAGGCGCACCUUGUUUGCCGAGUGUUAUGGACACGACACUCGGCAAAGGGUCUCUGUUUGUCGAGUGUAGGCACUCGGCAAACACCAGGGCUUUGCCGCCACUCGGCAAAGCCCUGGUGUUUGCCGAGUGCCUACCGUCUGGCACUCGGCCGGUAGGUACUCGGCAAACUUGCCGUUACCCCCGACGCCGUCAGCGCCUAUUUCGCCGAGUAUAUCCUUUCGCCGAGUGUUUUUUAGCCGUCGGCAAAAUGUUUGCCGAGUGCUCGAGUUUUGACACUCGGCAAAGUAGUCUUUGCCGACACAAAAUUUACCGUGUGCUGUUUACCGAGUGUAACACUCGGCAAAGCCUUGCCGAGUGUUUUCAUGUCUUCGCCGAGUGCCUGUAGCACUCGGCAAAUUGUGUGUUUCCCGUAGUGGGUAUAUGCUUGGCAUAACCAUGCAAAGUGAAAAACAAGACUUGUAGGCAUUUUUAUUUUCACAGUAUGCAUGAACUGAUACGUUUCUCUAUCGAUGAACACAUGGAAGAUAAUCCUUUUUAUGAGGUUUUAUUCAGACAUUUCUUAAAGUUUGUGCCACCCUUUGAACGUGGUGUUCUUAUCCGGGAACAUCAUCCUUUUGUCUAAAGGAAUAUGGCGUUCUCAUGGUGCUUCACUACUCACUCGUAUGAUGCUAAAUUUUUAGCAUGUGGAUUAUGCUGAUCUCCAUGUAUCUUAACACAACUGUGCGUGAACCAAAUUUGUUGGCCAUUAGUUAGAACUAGCCAUAAAUAACAAUUUUACGAAAAUAAUACUGUACUCUUGUACAAUGCUCAGUCUGUCUAUUGUAACUGCAUGCAUCUAUAUUCAUUUUCUACCUCUGUAAUGCAGUGAAUAUUGUGUUAGUUACUAUGCAUAGAGAUCCGCGGAUAGAAUGUUAUAUAUUCCUAAAGUUUUUGUUCUCCAGUGGAAGUAACAAUUAGCUUUGAUAGUUCCAUCAUCAAACAUUUAUCACGUGCUUAUGCAUGCAGGACAUCAUGUAUCACAUACAUUCUCUAUUGCCGCUUAGGGAUGCCGCCCGUGCUGCCUUCGUGUCUCAUGUAUUUUUGAAUUCCUGGAGAUGUCGGCCAAACCUCUGCUUAAAGUAUGAAAGCUCUGGGAUUCAAAGCAAGCUCUUAUGGAAAUGAUAAAGCAUCCAGGGAUUUCACCAAAAUAGUUGACCAUAUUUUGAAGAAGCACUCUGGCUUUGGCUUGAAGACAUUUCGGCUUGCAAUGUAUGGUUGUCACAAUGUCAACGCUUGCCAUCUCGAUAGUUGGCUUCACCUUGCUCUUAUAUUGGGGGUUGAACAGCUCAUCCUUGAAUUCCCUUCAAUGAUACGGUAUAACUUCCCAUUGUCAUUUUUAUCUGGUAUAAGAGUGGAAACUCAAUCCGGUAUCUUCAUCUUAGUUUCUGCACCUUCCGUCCGACAGUAGACUUGGGUGCUUCAGAAGCUUGAAGAAGCUGCAUCUGUACUAUGUGAGUAUUACCGGGGACGAGUUAGGGUGCCUUCUUCCAAAUUCUGUUGCUUUGGAGCAGCUGGAACUCAGAUAUUGCAAGGACAUAAUUUGCCUAAAGAUACCCCGCGUGCUGCUUCGGCUCAGCUGCCUGAAAGUGUUUGCAUGCGACAAUCUGCAGGAGAUAAUGAGUGAAGCUCCAAAUUUGUCCAGUUUGUGCUUUGAAUGGUUCGACCGCCAUGUAACCAUCUCACUUGGAGAAGCAUUGCAUGUGAAAAAACUUGAAAUUCCAUGUUUCAGAUCAUUCAACUAUGCGCAGCUUCCGACCAUCGUGCCAAAUCUUGAAGUUCUUAAUGGCCAUUAAGAUAGUGUUUGAUUCGUGCUAAGGUAACGUAAACGCAAAGGGAAUCAGAUUACAGUGUAUUUGGUGGUGGAAUAGGUGAUUACCCUCUUUGUUUGGUUGCACUCUGGUAACGUAAUCAGAUUACGGGGUGGAUGCUAUAUCUGAUUAUGGUGGGGGAGGAGGGGUAACAAGCUUGUAUAGAUAUUAUUUAGAUAAGGGAUUCGAUUACAGUGUCAAUUGAUCACAAACCACCGCAACUAAACACAUGUAAUGGAAUUCGUUACCUUCGGUAAUCAGAUUACGUUAUAUUUGAACCAACCAAACACCACCUUCACUUUGUCAGGUAUGCACCUAGCAAAUUCUGGCAGCUGAAGUACCUAUUCCUGGAGAGACCCAUGGCCCAGCCUAUGAUUAUUUGUCCGUGUCUUCAUUUCUUGGUGCUUCUCCUUGCUUGGAGACUUUCAUACUGCGCAUACAUGUAAGUAUAUCUCACCUUGCAAAGAUAUACAGUGUCUACUUGGUGAUGGAUUCGAGUAUCUUUGCUUGGUUUUCCAUCUUUAGGUACCGGAAACCCGCGUGGAGCACGGCCUGUUUACCGGAGAUCCCUCGCUUCUGCGUUGGAUGCCAGAACACCGUCAUGAGAAGCUCAAGCGUGUGCAGAUCGCCGGCUUCUACCCUGCAAAGAGCCUUCUGGAAUCUGGAGCUAGCAUGCUAUGUCCUUGAAACCGCAACAUCAUUGGAACGCCUUGAACUGGGCACCACCUACUGUCCGUAUUGGUUUACCAAGAGCAAACAUGCCAGCUGCUACCUCGUGGCGAUUAGAACAUACAUCGAGGCAAAGGUUCCCUCCACGGUUAGAUUAGAUGUUCAGGGGCCUUGGACCAGAACUGGGGGCAGUGGUUUUAGAAUCUAUUAGAUUAGAUGUCAAGGUUUCAUUAGGUUAUGAAACUUUUAUAUGCUUGUGCUCUGUUUAUUGAGUUAUUAGUUUCUCAGCUAACUCGUAAUUUGAGCCGUUUUGCUAGUUGAUCAUGUUAAAUAACUUCGUAGUUCAUGGAAUCAUGGUUUGGCCAUCGGACCCUGUGCAUAAACUGUUUGAUCCUGCCUUUGUGAGUCUGUGGUGGGAGUUGGACGGCCGCUCCAGCGUCGUUACCGUGGCACGGAAAGUUAUACAAAAGAAACUUUUCUAAAGAAUAGUUAAAUACCUUUUUUGGAAAAGUUAUUUAAAAACUUUUCCAGAAAUUUGAAUUUUGGAUUUCAAGGCAACAUUGCUGGCUCUAAAGAUGAACUUCUGGAUGGCUUGUGCUCUGUUUCUUGACUUGUCAGUUGUCACAAGUCUUUCGAUGUUUUCAUGCUGCAAUGUCACUAAUGGGUUGUGUGCGCUGUGUGCGCCUAUCCUUCUAUCGUACUCAUAAAUUAUAAUAUUAUAAUCCCUCCAUCCUACAAAGACUGUUGGUUUAGAAAAUUUUAGAUAAGAUAGUAGCAAUGAUAAAAGUCCAAAGUACCCUUAAUAACGGAUGGAUUACUGAGUAGAAUUAAUUAUGUAUGCACGCUUGCAGUAAUUAUCGAACCUAUUAGCCUUCCUUGUUUAGCGAGUCUGGCUCGGGUAUCGAUGGUGAGAGUAAAUGAUCGAUUCGUUAAUUGGGCUAGAAGGUAUUAUGAGGGGCUUUAUUGGAUUGUCCGAAAAUUAUAUGGACACUCUUUGUGAGACAAGUUUUGAAGGCUAAACGAAUAGUCUCUGUGGGACGAGGGAGUAUUUGCUUUUAAAAUACUUUAUAUGAUAUUUAUAACAAGCUAAUAGUUUUGGAUGCUUAAGAAAAAUUAAUUGGUAUUUUAUUUUUAAUAAUUAAUUAGUUUGUUCUAAAUGAAUUAGUUUUUUUAGGAAGUCUAAAUGAAUUAUUAUUAUUUUUGAGAAAGGGUUGGAUUUUACUGAUAUAGAACUAUUACAGCCAGCCCCCUAACACAAGACACCCCUGAUUAACAAGAAAAUUACAUAUAGAUCCUUUACAUGAGCAAAUGAAUUAGUUAACUGCUUGCUUUGUGUUGCUCAAACAGGCCCACCAGACGUUGGGAACCGGCUGUGAGGCUGGGCCGUAUCAAAACCAGGUAGGAAUGGCUCCGAUUUUUUUUUUCUUCCCACGCAUGGAUCGAUGAAUGGAGAGCGCGAGGCGGAGUUCGCAGAGCCCAGCCUCGUCCCGUGGGCCGCAGCCGAGACGGUGAUCUGCUCCGUUCUUGAUCGGUUGAUCUUUCCUCGCGUCUCGUAGGGUUUAGCACCUCGCGAUCUGCUCUUGGCCGUGGCCAUGGAGUGCAGCGGUGGCGGUAGAGACGACAGCCUCAGCGGCGAAUCCCAAGCCCGCGGUAUGGUUCCGGGUUCCCGGUUUUUUUUUCCCCUGUGGUCUCCGUGCGCGCGCGCUGUAGAUUGUUGAUUCGCAUCGCAGUGACAACACUUGGGGGAGAUUGCGAUCUUAAGCUAAUUUUUCAUCUGUCUGCAGUUCAUCUGUGGAGUUGAGAGUUUGAUAUGUUCUCCUUUUUUAACAAGUUUGAGGUCGUUACCUAGAGUCGCACACUAUGUUACUUCACAAAAAAUUCGUGCAAACAAAUUACUUAGAUCCCUGUCUUUGUUGUUCUCUAGUAGACAAAUUACGUGUGCGAUACUGUUUGCAAUGCAUACGGACUGAGGCUUGGACCUAGGACCCUAAAAAAACAUGCGUGCGCACCGCUAGAUAGAAAGUUUCUUGUGCCUGAUGUCGUUGAUGUUCUUCAAGUACCAAUCGUUUAUAAUCUUUAGUAACAGCAAUAACCAUGACGCGUUGCACUUCAGAUGAAUCAGUUGCUUCAGUGGUUGCAACAGAGGGCUCACCCUCUGAACAGGACGACAAUUUCCAAGGAGUCAAAGAACAGGAUUAUAACUCUCAGAAAUGCAAAAUAAUGAGAUAUUGAGAGCCCAUGCUUCCAGAGGUAUGCUAAUACAACUAUUGGUUGCUACUACCAAGCGCACUGCUCAAACUUCCCAAAUUUGAACAUAAAGGAGACAAAUUAUUGAGAUGUUCCUUUUACAUGUCUUCCUCCACGUGUACACUAAAAUAGAACGUACUGUUUGUAAGGUACAUGAUUGGCAUAACCAUGCAAAGAGAAAAAAGGAGACAUGUAGGCUUUUUUUCGCAGUAGGAAUGAACUGAUAUGUUUCCUAUCGAUGCAUGGCAGACAAUCAUUUUGAUUAGGUUUUCUUUAGACAUUUCUUAAAGUUUGUGCCGCCCUUUGAAUCUGGUGCUUUCAUCCGGAACAUUAUUUUUCCUACAAUAAUCCGGUGUUCUCAUGGUCCUUCACUAGUACAGUAGAUGCUAAAUUCUUAGUUAGUGGAUUAUCUUGACCUCCACGUCUCUUGAUUGACACAACUGCACUGGAACCAAUUUUGUUGGCCGUUAGUUAGAAACUUAGUAGUAGCUAUAAAUCAGGAGCAGACCCAUGAAGGGCCCAGCAAUAAAUAACAGUUUUACAAAAAAACUUACCAUACUCUUGUAAGAUGCUCAGUCUACUAAUUACAUCCAUAUGCAUAUUCUACCUCUGUAAUGCAGUAAACAUUGUGUUACUAUGCGCAGAGUUCCUCAGAUAGAAUGUAUAUGUUCCUAACGUUUUUGUUUUCUAAUUGAAGUAGUUGGUUUUUACCGUUCCAUCAUCGAACAUUUAUCACGUGCUUAUAAAUGCAGGACAUUUUGUGUCAUGUACAUUCUCUGUUGCCGCUUAGGGAUGCCGCCCGUGCUGCCUGCGUGUCUCAUGUAUUUCUGAUUUCCUGGAGAUGUCGUCCCAAUCUCUAUUUCAAUACGGAAGCUCUGGGCUUGGAAGCAAACUGUGGCAGAACAUCCAGGGAUUUCACCAAAAUAGUUGAUCAUAUUUUGAAGAAGUACUCUGACAUUGGCUUGAAGACAUUUCAGCUUGCCAUGUAUGGUUGUUACUAUAUCGAGUCUUGUCAUCUUGAUAGCUGGCUUCACCUUGCUCUUACAUUGGGGAUUGAAGAGCUCAUCCUUGCAACCAAUUCAAUGGUUCCAAAGUAUAACUUCCCAUUGUCACUUUUAUCUGGUAAGAGUGGAAACUCAAUCCGAUAUCUUCGUCUGAGCUUCUGCAUCUUUCGUCCGACAGUCAGACUUGGGUGCUUCAAAAGCUUGAAGAAGCUGCAUCUGUAUUGUGUGGGUAUUAGCGGGGACGAGUUAGGGUACCUUCUCCCAGUUUCUGUUGCUUUGGAGCAGUUGGAACUCGCAUAUUGCAAUAAGAUAAUUUGCCUGAAGAUACCCCACGUGCUGCAGAGGCUCAGCUGCCUGGAUGUGGCUGCAUGCCACAAUCUUCAAAUGAUAAAGAGUGAAGCUCCAAAUUUGUCCAGCCUGUGCUUUGAAUGGUUCCACCACCAUGUACACACCUCACUUGGAGAGGCAUUGCAUGUGAAAAAAAGUACAAAUGCUAUGUUUUAGGGACUUCUACUAUGUGCAGCUCCCGACCAUCAUGCCAAAUCUUGAAGCUCUUACCAUAGAUUCAAUUUGCCAGGUAUCCCGAGACUUGAUGUGCCUAAAUGACUAUAGUUUGUAAUAAUGAUACAAAUUAAUCUGGAACAUUAUGCAGAUAGCCAGUAUACCAAGCGAGCACAGCAAAUUCUGCUCGUUGAAGUACCUAAACAUUUGUGUUCCUGGAGAGGUCCGUGGCCCAGUCUAUGAUUAUCUUUCCCUUGCUUCAUUUCUCGGUGCUUCUCCUUGCUUGGAGACUUUCAUCCUGCGUAUACAUGUAAGCGCCUUCCCAUCUUACAAAGAUAUCUAGUGCCUAACAGAUGGAUUCAAGUGUUUUUUAUUUGCCAUGCUCAGGUACCGGAGGUUCGUGUGAAGUAUGGCUUGUUUUCUGGCGAUCCCUCCCAUCCGCGUCAGAUGCCAGAACACCGAUAUGUCAAGCUCAAACGUGCGAAGAUCAUCGGCUUCUACCCUGCGAAGAGCCUGCUGGAGCUAGCAAGCCAUGUUCUUGAGACGGCAACGUCACUUGAAUGCCUCACACUGGACACCACCUACUGUUCUUGCGGGCGUCGUCACAGCGAUCCUGCCAAGUGCUACCUCGUGGCCAUCAAAAGAUACUUCGAAGGGAAAGUUCCCUCCACGGCUAGGUUAGAUGUUGAGGGGCCUUUCAGCGGCGUGCGACCGAACGACCGUAGGUGGCAAGGUUUUACUGUGUUUGAUGGGCGUUCAUAGCGGCAUGGCAUCAUGCAUGCAUGCUGUGAAGCGUGAACUUAAGAUAGAUGUCAAGGUAUAUUUGAGGCCACGCUUGUCCCUCCGUUGCUUCCUUGAGAAAAUGUGUCAAGGUGCACGUCUUUGCAGUGUUGGGUGAUGCAAUUUUAGACAGAUGUCUUGUGCUAUUGUGUUUCUUGAAUUGUCAGUUUGUCACAAGCCUUUGAUGUUUCGCUCUGCAAUAAUGUUGCAGCGCCGAACCUUGCAGCUUGCUCACAAUUUGAGCCAUUUUGCUAAUUGCUUGGCGUGAUAUAUGAUUCUCUUGGUAAAACACGAGCUUAUGGUGAGUGCGGACUGUGUGCAGAAACGACUGUUUUGCGGUAGCGUCUCGGUGGGUUCUGGCUGUUCCUGGCCGUGGUGUUGUCCGCAGGCUGAAAGGCGCUUCAGACGGCACGUCUCAGCCUCGUCACAGCACUGUGAGCAACUGAGCAUUUGUCAUGCAGCCUCAUUGAAAUUCGGCCCUGUGAUGUGUAUCAAUACAUAUACAUUUUUGUUGAGAUAAGAUGUACGCCUUUAGUUAAAGUACAGAUAUUUUUUAUUUUAUUCUAAAUCAAAUGAAUUUUAAUUCCGAUGAAGUUUAUAGCAAAAUAUACUAAAAUCUAUUAUACCAAAUAAAUGCACUCUCAAAAUAUAAUUUCACGAUGAAUUUAAGAUAUACUAUUGUAUUUUCCUAUAAAAUUGGUUAUUCUAAAGAAAAACAUAAAGGUUGUUGGUGUCAAAUGCUUGGAACCUAAUAUUUCUCCGCCAAUAUUUCUAGACCACUGCGAGUAAGUUUGGAUGCUGUUGGAAUGGCCCAGCCAAAUUUAGCCCGUGACCAACUCGCCCAAUGCAUAGUCGUAAGUGGGAAGCACAAAAUUAAAGAGUUCCCAUUUAUAGCCGAAUGCACGUGGUUAAAUCCUUCGUAAUAUUUAGUAGGCCAGCGCGUUGGCAGGGCAGAGCCGGUGAUAGCAUCCAAAUCAUGUCCUAGAUCUUCAUCUAGCAGUCCGGGUAUUAUCUUGAGCCUUCGUAUGUGAGCUUCCCUCUAGGUCCCCACCUACCUCUAACCAAUCUGUUCGUCGCCUUUGCCGCUAAUUUCAUCCAUCGUGUUUGGUGUCGAUGUCACUACCAUCACCUUGCCACGUGCACACCAAUCUGUGUCAUCCCUCUAAGACCAGUAAUGGUAGAAAUCUUCCUAAACUCUCGCACGAGCGCCACGCCCUUGUACUGAACACUAGUAUUGCUAGUUGAGAGCAACAUCGAUACCGAUUAAAAAUCUUCUCUAUCACUAGUAGAGAGCAUAAAAAAUAAACAUAUAUGUAAGUUUUGCAGCUUUGAUCUAGUUGUAGUGAAAUUUUUGCUUAACGUGGAUGGGACAUCAUUAUAAUAGGAAACUAAAAACUAACCGCAUUUACUCACCUAGUUUGAAUCCUUGGCUUAGCACUUGUGCUUGUAUUUUAUUGGAAGUUUUCUAGUACGUAGGUGAAAUUAUCGUCGAAAUAAGAUGUUUUUCUUAUAGUUUUGUCAAGAUAUACAAUACAAGGUUUUAAAUAUGCUUGAGACUGUGUGUAUUUAUAAAACGUGUGAUUGCGACACUGCGUGUAGGUGCGUCCGUGCGUGUGUGUGUCUAGCCAUCCGGUGCUCUGUCGAUCGAACGGCCAAGCACCACCUGCUGACCUGCACUGACGAAACGACCAGCAUGUCACAGUGACGUCAUUGCCCCGGUCCAUGCGACCAUCCGCACCGGCGCACGCUCUCCUCUGUCACACGACACCGCCACGACACACUCGGCGGUUCGCGUUUCUCUCUCUUCGCGGCCCGGCCGCCUCGGCUCCCUCCUCCUCCCCUUUCCCUCCGACCCCGACCUCUCACUCCCGCGCCGAACUCGCCGCGCUCUUCUCCCUCCCCAUCUUGACCGGUUCUGGCCGUCUUAUCCCUCUCUCUCCCGUUUCCACGCCCAGCCCGAACGCCAAAAAACCCGCAGCCCGCGCGCGCGCGACGAGGCACGCGUACGACGCACCAGCCACGCACCCGGCACCCGCAACGGCUGGCCGAUCGCCGGUGAGCGCGCGAUCGCCAUGGAGCCGGACGACGAGGUGAUGCCGCGGGCCCCGCCGCCGCAGCGCCGCGGGAUCUCGUACAGCCAGCCGCUGUCGCGGGACGCCGCGUCCGCGCGCCGCGCCGCGCUGCGCAACCACAGCCUCGACGACGACCACAUCCUCCCGGUCUCCCACUCCCUCAACUACCCGCUCCACCACGACCCCACGGCGGGGGCCCCGCACGUGGGAUACCACCCGCCGCUCCCGCCGCACCAGCACCACCCCAGCGCCUCCUACUCCUCCGGCUCCCGACGCUCGGGGGGCGGCGGCGCCAGCGAGGGCUCCAUGACGCUCGAGCGCGCCAUGUCCGAGUACGGCGGCGGCAGCGGCACCCUCCCGGAGUUCGUCGGCGCUGGGGGCGGCAAGGGCAUCUUCCGCGUCCCGCUCCGCGCCGCCAUGCACCCGGGCCGCCCGCCCCCGCUCGAGGUGCGGCCCCACCCGCUCCGCGAGACGCAGGCGGGAUCGUUCCUCCGCACGCUCGCCGCCGAGCAGCAGCGCCGACAGCUCUGGGCCGGGGCCGAGUCCGGGAUCAGGGUCUGGGCGCUCGACGAGGUGUUCGCCGAGUGGGGCGCCGGCGCGCGCCGCGGCGACGAGGAGAGCGCGCCGUUCCGCGAGGGCGUGCCCGCGCCUCCCGCGCUCUGUGUCGCCGUCGACAGGGCCAACCGCCUGCUGUGGACGGGGCACAAGGACGGGAGGAUCCGAUCGUGGCGCAUGGACCUCGACGCGGCGGCCACGGCGCCUGCGCCCGCCGCUGCUGGUGCAGGCGACGGCGGCGGGAGCGUUGGGGGCAGCAGUCAAGGCGGGGGAAACAACAAUGCGCCAGUGUUCAAGGAAGCCCUCACAUGGCAGGCCUAUGGCCGGACGCCCGUGCUCUCCAUGGUCGUCACUUCCUACGGUGAGCAUGCCCAUCUUUGAUCUUCAUUGCAAUCACAAUGCAUUGCUGUUGUCACAAACUCACAAUUGUAUUACAUCUGCACAUUGCCAUCACUGCAUGUCAAUUACAAAUUCAAGAGUUCUGACAAGAAAAUGUAUGCAUCAUUUGAAAUUAUCAGGCGAGAUAUGGUCAGGUUCCGAGGGUGGGGUCAUAAAGGCGUGGCCAUACGAUGCCAUUGCAAAGUCCCUCUCAUUGUCACCAGAAGAGAGACACAUGGCUGCUUUGUUGGUUGAGAGAGCUUACAUUGACCUCAGAAACCAUUGCACGGUUGGCAAUGUUUGCUCCUUGCCUGCUUCAGAUGUGAAACACAUGCUGGCUGAUCAUUCCCGGGCUAAAGUUUGGACUGUGACAAGCAUGACAUUUGCUCUAUGGUAUGCCUUCAGAAACAUAGAUGGAAUGUUUGUUAGAUUAUCAUGUUUGCUCAAUAAUUGAUUUAACCUAUCGAUUCUAUUGAACAAAUUGCUACAGGGACGCACGUACAAGGGAGUUGCUGAAAGUCUUUGGGAUGGAUGGCCAAGUUGAGUCAGCAAAGCUAGAGACACCAGUCAUGCCAGAACAGCCUAUGGAGGAAGAGGUCAACCCUAAAGCAAAACCUUCAAAGAAGGACAAGUCACAAGGUUCUUUGAACUUCUUCCAGAAAUCUAGGAAUGUUUUAAUAGGAGCAGCCGAUGCAGUGCGCAGGGUUGCAACAAAGGGAACAUUUGUCGAAGAUAACCGUAGAACAGGAGCAGUGGCUCAAGUAAUGGAUGGCACAAUCUGGUCAGGAUGCACGAAUGGUGCAAUUAUCCAGUGGGAUGGGAAUGGGAGCCGGGUGCAAGAAUUCCAGCAUCAUACAUCUUCGGUGCAGUGUAUAAAGGCACUAGGAGAAAGGGUGUGGGUGGGCUAUGCCAGUGGCACGAUUCAAGUCAUGGACGCCGACGGUAACAUUCUGGCAGGAUGGACAGGGCAUAGUUGUCCAGUCAUAAAGAUGGCUAUUGGUGGUUCUUACAUUUACACACUGGCGCAUCACGGUGGUAUUCGGGGAUGGCCACUGAAUUCUCCUGGACCUCUUGAUGAUAUUAUCCGUACGGAAUUGUCUAACAGAGAGCAGUCAUACACUAGAAUGGAGAAGAUAAACAUAAUGGUGGGAAGUUGGAAUGUAGCACAAGGGAAAGCAUCCGCUGAGUCACUUAGAUCAUGGUUGGGUAGUGUAUCAUCUGAUGUAGGGUUGGUUGUUGUUGGAUUACAAGAGGUUGAGAUGGGCGCAGGAUUUCUUGCCAUUUCUGCAGCAAAAGAAACUGUAAGAUACUUGAUCUUACCGUCAGCUCUUGUAUCCGAUUCAAUCUGUCAUUUGGUUGAUGCUUUAAAUGGUGCUAUAUCUAUUCACUACGUUGUUUUAUUUUCAUUUCCUCCAUUAACCGGGAUUUUGGUAGCCAGUCAAUGCUGCAAUAUGAUUAUGCCCUACUGUUUCCUAUAACUUAACUAUAUGUAUUUUUUAAAUUUAAUGAGUUUUUGUGUUAUGCAACUUCUGAGAGAAAUGUGACUUGCAAGUUAAAAAUAUAUCUGUAGAUGAAAUGAGUUAUACAAAAAAUAGCUAUUGAGCUAAUGAAGUGACGAAUAAGAAUUUACUUUUUGUUAGAGACAAACAGAUUUCAAUCUUCUUUGCCGUCUGUGGUGUAAUUCACAAAUCAACACCUGUUAGUAGGCCUUAUCAUUGCAGUGUUUUAUGUAAAUACUCUACAUCGUACUUUGAUUCAAUAUUUCUUUUUCAUGGUUCUAGGUAGGACUUGAGGGCAGCGUGAAUGGGCAAUGGUGGAUAGACAAUAUUGGCAAAGCACUUGAUGAGGGGACAUCAUUCCACCGAGUUGGUUCUCGACAGUUGGCUGCAUUGCUUAUUGCUGCAUGGUACUACCUUGUCAUAUAUUAGUUCCUUAGAAUUAAACCACAAAUUUCUUUUCACAUAAUGAUAAGUUGCUCAAUUAAUUGUUUGUUUCAUUGCCAUUCUCAUGUGCAUACAUAACAUGGAAAAAAUAUUUACUUUUCAAGGGCAAGAAAGAGCCUUAAGCCAUAUGUUGGUGAUGUCGAUGCUGCUGCAGUGCCAUGUGGUCUUGGACGUGCUAUUGGCAAUAAGGUACAUGAUAAUAUAGAUGUAUAUUCAUUCACUUUCCCCAUCUGAUUUUCCAUUUUCUAAUGGUUCACUUAAAAGAUCAGAAAUGAGUUAACCAAACAUGGCAAUUCCAAAGUUGAAGCUGCCGUAGUCACUUCUUUAGAAAAUAUUCUGGGCUCCUUUGCCCUCAGUACUUCAAAUAUAUACCUCCUUUUGACGAUAUCAGCAUAUCUUGUGUUGGGAACUUGAUAUUCUAGUGAUAGUUACAUAAUGGCUGUAUGAAUAGAGAAAGAAAAUCUGCAUGUAGCACUGUAGCAGCAAAACAUAAUAGUCCUUAGUACUCUGUUUUAUAUUCCAUUUCAUGUUCUCCAUAGUUCUUUUGUUUGUCUGAUGUGAUGACAUUUCAUUCUGCUGCAGGGUGGUGUAGGAUUAAGAAUAAGGGUAUAUGAUCGGAAAAUGUGUUUUGUGAGCAAUCAUUUUGCUGCACAUCUGGAAGCCGUGAGCCGACGAAAUGCUGACUUUGACCACAUUUACCGGACAAUGGCUUUCAACAAACCACAUGGAUCCACAGGUUCAUUUUUUUACGUUUUAUGAAGAGCUUUUUUUUUGGCAAUGAGGUUUAGGAUUUAUGUAUCUUUUCCAUUCAACUUUAGGUGUUACAAAUACUUCUUUAAUACCUCAAAGUUUUUCCAUAAGUGAUAAUCCUUUGGUUUGUUGUGAUACAGCUUCUGCUACAUCUGUCCAGUUGCACAGAACAGUAAAUGUAUGUGUCAAAUAACCUGUAAACUAUCGAUAUAUACCAAUGAAUUAUACUGACGUCCAGAUGUUGUGCUGAUUUCAGGUCAAUGGAAAUCAGGUUGAAGAAGUAAGGCCUGACCUGGCUGAAGCUGAUAUGGUUGUAUUUCUUGGUGAUUUCAACUACAGGCUUUAUGGUAUCACAUAUGAUGAAGCAAGGGACAUGGUUUCACAAAGAAGCUUCGAUUGGCUAAGAGAGAAGGAUCAGCUUCGAGCAGAAAUGAAAGCUGGAAAGGUAUUUCAAGGAAUGCGUGAAGGCAUAAUCAAAUUUCCCCCAACAUACAAGUUCCAAAAGCAUCAGCCAGGUCUCGGAGGUAUGAACAUGAUGUUGCUUGCAAAUUUCUAUUUCUUUUCCCUAAUCAACUGGUCAUGUAAUUUUUCUCCUGACUAAUGUAGUAGGUUCUGUUUAUUGCUUUGCAUCACUAGUGCUGAAAACUGACUAUCAACUGUCAUGUAGGGUAUGAUUCGGGUGAGAAGAAGCGGAUACCUGCUUGGUGCGAUAGAGUGCUAUAUCGUGACAGCCGUUCUGUAUCAGUAGCUGAAUGCUCAUUAGAGUGCCCUGUAGUUGCUUCCAUUACAUCGUGAGAUACUAUUACGAUUCUUCUUUCUCCUUCCGAUGAUCAAUAAUUCCUUUGACCAUACUGAUUUUUUUUCUUGGUAGGUACGUGGCGUGCAUGGAUGUCACGGAGAGUGACCAUAAACCUGUGAGGUGUACAUUCAGCGUUGAUAUUGCAAGAGUUGAUGAGUUAAUAAGAAGGCAAGAAUAUGGAGAAAUAAUUGAAUCGAAUGAGAAAGUACGUUCUUUGCUCCAAGAAGCUUGUUUUGUUCCAGAAACUACAGUUAGCAUAAGUGAAAUCAAGCUGGAGAAUCAAGAGAAUAUUGUCUUCCAAAUUACCAAUAAAUGUGAAACAAGCAAAGCAGCUUUCGAAAUCCUAUGUGACGGGCAGUCAAUCAAGAAGGAGGAUGGAACUAAAUCAGAGCUUCUUCCAAGGGCAUCAUUUGGCUUCCCACUUUGGCUCGAGGUAAGAGGUGUUGUGAACUCCUUUAAUAAAGCUCUAGUCUGGAACUCUGUAUUACACGGGGCAACACCUACAACUAUAAUUCAUUUAUAGUUUCUAGCCACCAACUGAAGAUAUUGCCAUUCUUCCUAUAUGUGUACUAAUAUGAUCAAAAUUUACGAUGUUCAAUUGAAUGAAUAUGACGCAGGCAGAAGUAGCUUCUCAUGUCAGCAAACAGUUGAUAUACUGCCUGUCAUAGGUUCUUUGUAGUCAGUUUUUUUAGUUGCUGAUUUACCUUAUCACACAGGUACAACCAGCGGUCGGUCUGAUUAAACCAGGUGAAACUGUGGAGAUUACACUCCAUCACGAAGACUUUUACACACAGGAAGAGUUCGUAGACGGAAUACCACAGAACUGGUGGUGCGAGGACACCAGAGAUAAGGAAGCCGUUCUCAGAAUAAACAUAACAGGCAGCAGCUCAACCGAAACCAAGACGCACACCAUCAACGUCCAACAUUGCUGCCCACCAUCAUCGGCGCCCCCGAUGAUGAACCUGCCAGCGGCUGCCGUGCCACCGAGCAACGUCCUGGCCAGCGAGGGGCACUCGAAGCGCUCCUCCAAGAAGAGCCAGUCCAAGCACCGGGACCAGCAGCAGCAGCAGGAUUACCCACAGUUUGGGAGCUCGGAGGUGCACGACCUGUGCCGCAUGCGGUGCCCGUGAGACCUGUACAAAGGAGUAAGGAUACUGAAGUUCUGUCUAGGAGGUGGGAACUGCGAGUCUUAGGUUUCUCACAUCAAGUCCGGGAGUUACCACACAAAGAGAAAAAAAUAAUAGCCUGGGAGGAGUUGCUCCGGUUCUGUACAUAUGCUUCACUUACCUCUAUCAGCUGCCAUUCUUUCAUGUAGCCCAAGAAAAGGAGUCUAGAGUCAUGAGAUAACCGUGCUAAUAACUUGUUCUUUUAUUCUUGUUCCUUAAGGAGUGUUCUCUAGAUAGUUGAAGCCAGGGAUGUUUGAACAAUGCUUGAUGUAAUAUGUUCCAUAGAAUUAGUUUAGGUUUGUUCUCUCUUUACUCAACAGUUCUGAUGAUCUUGUACUUCUUGAUUAUUGCCCUUGUUAAUAAGUGACAAAUUCUUCAUUCCCUUGAAUCAUCAUUGCAUAUUUAUGGCUUUGGUUUAGUGUUAUUGUGCUCAAAAUAUUUGGAUGUCCUAGAAGUUUGUGACGACAGUAUGCAUAUCCCUGUCAGAUAAUAUCUAGUUGAUGGCUUGAUGCUCCCUUGCUAAAUGAAACAAAAUGAAGGUAAAAUUCAAACUGAUACUAUGAAAUUAGCAUCCCUAAUCCUCUCUUAUGUAUCAAAUUGCAAUUUAAUCCGAUACUCCUCUCUUAUCACAAAUAUAAAUCAUUGUAAGAUUCUUACUCGUCAAGGCCUUUUGCACGGGAUGAAGCUGAUCACUGGAUGUUGGUAGGCGCCAAAGGCCUGAGUAGUCUGGCUGCUGCUCGAUCUGAUGGUUAGCAGCGUUGGUUGGUUAGGUGUUUGUAUGGCUAUUUGAGCCUCUUUCUUCUAUCUUAAUACAAUAAUACGUAGCUCUCCUACAUAUUUUGGAAAAACUUAGACUGUAAAUAAAUAAAGAAUUAGGUAGGUUGAAAUCAUAAAAUUGAUGUAUAUAGAUUCAUUGUAAAGUAUUUUCAUAAUAUAUAGUCUUUCUUAUAUGCUACUCUCUCCGUCCCAAAUUACUAUUCGUUUUAGCUUUUCUAGAUGAUAGAUUUUGCUACGUAUCUCGACAUACAUACAUUUAAAUCCAUAUUAAAAAAAUUUUAUCUAGAAAAGUCAAAACGGAUAGUAAUUUGGGACACGGGGAGUAUAUUGUUUUAGAAAUUGUUAAUUUUUCCCUUCAAGACAGUGUCAGAUCUUUUCAAUGACUUAUUUCUCAUCUAAAGAAAUAACCAAUAGACACAAUCACACACCAUGGUACUCAAAUUUCUAAGUAAAAAUUAUAGAACCCUCUACAAGUCCCUUAGAAGUUUGAUAUCCCCGCAAGUCAUUUUGUUGACGUUCUCUCGCCAAAUUAAAGAAAAAGCAGCCGAAUUUCAGGUGACCGCUAUGACAUUCACUUCCCUGAUUAUCUCUUGCGCAACUAUUUUUUAUCACAGCCGUAAUUUGUCUAUCAGACAAGAGAUUUACCUCUUAGUGAAAUACUCCUACGUGCUUAGGGGCAAAAAGGACAAGGGGUUUACGGUUACCCAAACCGCAGUGCCAGAAGCCCUGAACGCGCACGGCACCGCACGGGCACGGCGCUUGCCUUAAACCCCUCGUCGGCUUCCUCCCACUCCUCCGGUCCUCCCCCCAUCGGCGAGCUCAUCCGUCCGCCGGUCCCCAUGGCGCCCAAGGUUCUGAUGGUAAGCCGCCCCCGCCUCCGCCCUCGCCGCAGACGCCGGCUAGGUAACCGUGGCGCUGCGCGGUGGCGGCCGCGCUGACCCCACUCUGAACACCUUCUCACUCCUGGUUCGUGCCACUGCAGGUCGCGGAGAAGCCCAGCAUCGCGCUCUCCAUCGCCUCCGCCCUCUCCGGCGGCCGCGUAAGUUCUCCCCCUCCCUCCUCCGCCACCGAAUCCGUGCUGAUUUUGAUUGUUGGUGUCGAAUUCGGGGGCGACCUGACCUCGGAUUCAUUUGGGAAUGGGUGGUGUCGAAGGAGCCAGCCCUAACGGUCGGCGCGCCGAUGGGUGCUGGUUCUUCUGAGCUGCUGGUAGUUUGGUCGCCGUCUAAUUUUUACCCUAGGAGCUUGAGUGUCGACUGCAAAUUUGUGUGAUGGCUCAUUGAGCUCCCCUGUUGAGGUAGCUUUUGGGAUUGGUUGAAAUGAUAUAUGAAUUUGCACAGUUCCGACUGCCAUAGUAAAUAAAUUUGCUCAGCUUUGCCUGAUGAUCAAUGCUUAAGCUCAGUAGCCCGGGUACUUCUAGAAGAGGCAUGGUUAACCUCCAUUCCCCUCUAGCAAAUCUUUUGAAAAAGUUAAUUGCGGAUCUGAAUUUUUGAUAACCUAUUGAGGCAUCAAGUAGCUGUGCACAUAUCAGUUGCUGUUACAACCUGGCGGAUAUGGAUGAGACACCUUUUCCCUCCUCAGAAAAGAGCAGUAGGGAAGGCCCCAUUUGAAUAGUACUAAUAAUAUGGGCCAGACUCCAGAAUGCUUUGUUUUGAUUAAGAGUUUACUCACAUCGAUAUCUUUUCUUUCAUCAUUCAUGCAGAUGUCCACAAGGAAGGGAAGCACAGAUAUCCAUGAGUUUGACGGGAUGUUUCAGGGUUCUUAUGCAAAUUUUAAAGUGACAUCUGUCAUUGGACAUGUUUUAAGGUAGCGCUUUUGUCACAGUUUUGUCAUUUGAAGCCUGAGUAUAUGAAUUCUUGCACAUGCACAUUUCGUACAUAUCAGUGUUGAAUGUUGAUAUGUGCACUGUGCAGACACGGUGGACCAAUGCAUAGUUGAAAUGUUGGUUAUACUGAAAGUUGCCAUUAGUUAUUACAUUUCAGCAGCAUCGAUAUACAGAUAUUCAGUUCAUGUUUACAGUUUCUGAACUUAAAAUGUCUUUUGAUUGCGUUUCUUUAAUCUCUGUAUGAUUUUUCCAGUGUAGAUUUCCCCCCUGCAUAUCAGAACUGGGAUGGAACUGAUCCAAUGGACCUAUUUGAGGCGCCAGUUCUGAGAUCUGAAUGCAACCCAAAGGUACUGUAUUCCUGUACAACUCUGAUUGAACAGAAUGCAACUCAGCUAGCAGUUAAGGGUCAACUCAGAUUGUGAGAGAAUAUGACUCAUUGACAUUUAACUGCUUGGUUGUAACCAAAUAAAGUGGUGAUAGUACUCAAAUAAAGUGGUGAUAGUACUCCAUUAUGCUAAUCUACUCCACCCAUGCAUGGCCAAUCAACUAUGCAGUUUCACUGUUUCUUAAACAUUUUUAUGUCCUCUCUCUCUCUCCAUAUGUAUUAUCGACUCUAGGAGUAUUCAAACUCUGAAUAAACAAAUGUCCUGGUUAUUGUUUUCCUCACAUUUUUUGUUAGGCUCCCAGUUACAAUUGCAGAAUCUGCUAAAUUGCCAAAUCCAAACGGUAGUUUUUGGCUGAUGUUACAUUUAUCUGUAUCUGUGUAUGUUCCAGUUAUUUUGAACUUUUACUAGGCUUUCUUGAAGCCGUUAGAUAGAACUAUGUUAUCUUUUUCACUUUUUCCCUGAAACCUGCUUUUUUCUUCACUUGCAAUGCAUAUUUUGCAUUAUCAAGUAAUGGAAAUGGGGGACCCUGUUUUGAAAAAAAUGGUGUAUGUGUUUUCCCUUUUCCCUUAAGGAUCAUAAUGUCCCGCAGUUAAAUACAACACUGAUGGGUAGCUCUCUUGAAGGCUCAUAUCCGCAGGCAUCUAGCUCAAGAAGUUCGAGGUUGCACUUAUUUGAUACUUUGGCUGGACUGUGACCGAGAAGGAGAAAACAUAUGCUAUGAAGGUACACCAACCCUGUUUGGGAAUAAUUAUGCAUACCAUCCUGUCAGGUCAUUAUUAUAAUUUAUGAUGGUGUAUAGAGAGCUAUAUGUGGAGUUUUCCAUUUUACAAUCAGGACUCUGAAAAGCAAAACAUAGGUGUAUACGUAAAAUAAGUUUGACACCAUUGGGAAGUUCUCUGCUAGAAUGAGUGAGACAUUAGAUCAAUUGAAUUUCUUUAGAGUCUGGAAGCUAUAAAGAUUUUAAUUCUUUGUCCAAACAGAACAUAGAUAAUUAUGUAAAAAUAUCAUUUGAAAUUAUUUUUUAUACUCAGAUUUCUUUGUUCUUGAUUGCUGCAAUGUAUACCUGGUAUUUCUUUGCUUGCUUCUACACAUAUACAUGGCUUGUUCUGUUCUACCUCCUGAUAUUUAGCUUGAUCAAUGUAAUUACAAUGCCAAACAUAUGUUCCAGUUAUUGAGUGCACUGGGAUUCCUGAAAAUGAGGCUGGCAGAAGAAUUUUCCGUGCUAGAUUUUCAUCUGUUACCGAGAAAGACAUAUUGAGUGCCAUGGAUAACCUUGCUCUGCCAAAUAAAGAUGAAGCACUAUCAGUGGAUGCUCGCCAAGAAAUUGACUUGAAGGUUGGAGUAGCAUUUACUCGAUUUCAGACCCGAUAUUUUCAAGGAAAAUAUGGAAACCUUGAUUCAAGAGUGAUUUCGUGAGUUCUCCAUCUCUUUUCACAAUCCAAAUUUCUUUGACAAUUGCUUAUUGAAUUCUUUUUUUAUUAAAGAAAGUGCUACUAGGUAUAAACAAUCUUCAAAUAUUUUUGGUUCUGUGAACUUUUAAAUUUUUUAUUCAAGUCAUCAUAGCAAUAUCUUUUACAUGUACCCUACCUGUAUUUUAAUAAUAUUUUCCAGAAUUGGUUUAAGAUUUGUUAUCCUUUCAUCCUUUGUAAAUCAGGUAUGGUCCGUGCCAAACACCUACGCUGGGAUUCUGUGUACAACGCUAUCAGCAAAUCACCACAUUCAAACCAGAGAAAUUCUGGUCCUUGAAAACUUAUAUCAUCAAAGAUGGUGAUGAAAUACAGCUAGAAUGGGACCGGAAGAAACUUUUUGAUUUUGAUGUGAGAUCACAUACCCAAGUGAUUUGGCUUUAUUCUUCCAAAUGUUCUCACAUUUUCCUUAAUUAAAAAUGCAGGUUACUGUAAUGUUUCAGAAGAUGGUCGCCAGUGAUGGGACUCUAAAAAUAGCAGAUGUAUCAGUGAAGGAAGAGUGCAAAACCCGUCCAUCUGGCCUUAAUACAGUUAAUAUGCUUAAGGUACCAUAGCUCUUACCUCUUAGAGUAACCAUAUCUUGUCCUUAGCUUUCCCUUAUUUAUUUUGCCUUGCUAUCUACAAAUCUCACUUUGUGCUUGCCUUACAGUGUAAUGUUUGUUCAGUCUUUUGAAGCACGAUUUUGUUCUUACAAUGUCCUACCAAUGUGUAUUGCUAUCAUAAAUUGCCUCUUGAUUGAAAUCUGAUACCCAAGAUUCUCCUGUUGGGUUUGACUUGACCAAAAUCUUAGUAUUAAUAUGACAAUUAUAUCCUUUUCAUUUUAAAAUGGGGGCAUUUGGGUUGUUUUACACAUGAUGAAAGAGUUGAGUAAAUUUCAAACUAAUUUAUCCUUCUUAUAUCAGGUUGCAUCAAGUGCACUCAGUAUUGGACCUCAGACAGCCAUGCACUUGGCAGAGCGGCUUUACACUCAAGGAUUCAUCAGGUUUCAAAAAUAACAUCGAAAUAGUGCUAUGUUUAAUAUUGAAUCUCGUCUACCAUUAGCCUGAUAGAAGUUGAUGUGGGCUUAUUUACCAUAUGCAAUGAUGCAUGGCGUUUCAUUGUAUUUUCUAAUACUUCUUUUGUUAUAUGAAUAAUUCUAAUUGACAAAAAUCUGCAAUAUAGGCUGUUCUUUUGUUUGUUCAACCAGGUAUACUAUGUGUCCUAUGAAGUUUAGCUGAUCCCAUGUAUGAUUUUUUUGAGGUUAGAAGUUAGAACUGAUGUAUAUUGACCCAACUGAGGCCUCGGUCACUAGUCAUGACUACCGCAUGAUUUUACAAAUUAUGCUAUAGUAAGUGUGCAAUUUUAUUAACAGACCAGUUUACCCAUUCUUCUUGCCAUGUCCCACAUGAUACCAAGUUCAUCAUGUAGGUCUUAUUAUAUUCUAGGUAACGGUUGAGCCUUGCAUUACUCCCAAUAAUGCCAUCCUAAGUACAUGUGAUACUGAUUCUCGUUUAAGCUCAAGUUAUAUAGUUAAGCUGUAAUAAUUAUUGCUUUUAGUUUUUAAUUUGGGCGAACAGAUUUUUUAUUAUUGCAGCUGAAAACACCUUACAUAGGUGAUGUUGCUGCCACUGCAUGUUUCAUUUUCCUACUGUAAGUACUAAUUGUAACCUUUGCACAGCUAUCCACGUACAGAGAGCACUGCAUAUCCAGCAUCGUUUGAUUUUCGAGGUGCACUUGCUGUGCUAGUACAUAAUCCUCUAUGGUCCAAUGAUGUCUGGACAUUACUGGAUGCUGGUUUUGUUAAGCCUCGUCAAGGUCAUGAUGCUGGGGACCAUCCUCCAAUUACUCCAAUGAGAUCAGCGACAGAAGAAGCUCUGGGAACUGAUGCUUGGAGGCUGUACCAAUACAUAAGCCAGCACUUUAUUGGAACUGUUAGUCCUGAUUGUAGAUAUACAAGGUAGUUUGUCCUGUUGUUUCCAUCGUUGCUGGAUAAAUCAUUCGUGUUUUUGUUUUGUCAUAAUUCACAAGCAUGUCAUAGAACGCGAUGUUUUUUGCAUUACCAAUUUGUAUUCAAAUUUAAUAGUUUCUUAUAAAGGGAUUCAUCAGUAAAUAACCCUUUCAAAAAAACAUGAUUGCCAGGACUGCCAUUGAGUUUACUUCAGGUGGAGAAACUUUCCACUGUGUUGGCUAUCGAGUCACUCAUAAAGGAUUUACCUCUAUCAUGCCAUGGCUGUCUGUCAGUGAGAAUAGUCUUCCUGCCUUUAGAAAGGGAGACUCUGUUAGUAUUCAUAAGGUUGACAUAUAUGAGGUAAGGCUUGUCAGUUUUGCUCAAAUCACACGCGCUUAACUUUUAUGAGGAUAUGAUGCUGACAAAUCAUGAUUCUUUGUUGAAGGGAAGCACCACACCUCCUGAUUACCUCAGUGAAAGUGAAUUGAUCUCUCUCAUGGAGAAGAAUGGCAUAGGUACAGAUGCAUCAAUUCCUGUACAUAUAAACAACAUUUGCGAACGUAAUUAUGUUCAGGUUAGUUGAGUUGUUUUCUACUAGACCUUCAGAGAGUCAUAUGCUGUGAAUCCUUACACUUGCAAGUUUAUGCUUACAUAUGUAAAUGUGCAAAAAGCAUAAUGCCUCUACUAUCUUUCUUAAAGGUGAAUUCUGGAAGAAGGUUAGUACCAACACCACUGGGGACUACGUUGAUAAGAGGAUAUCAGUGUAUUGAUGCUGAUCUCUGCUUGCCUGAUAUCAGAAGCUUUAUUGAGCAACAGAUUACUCUAAUUGCAAAAGGCAAAGCUGAUCAUCGUCAAGUUAUUCAACAUGUUAUUCAGCAAUUUAUGAAAAAGUACUCUUACUUUGUGAAAAAGGUAACACAUUUUGUUCAUAAUCUAUUGAGACUCCAUUGUUGUAUUGCAUGGUAUUUGGAAAAGUUUAUGUCAAUGAUCAAGCAAUGCUUUACCUUCAUCUGAAGCUGUAACAACAAUGAGUCCGCCAAAUGGUUAAUAUUAUUUUACAUUUGCAGAUACAUUUUUUCUACAAAGAAUACAUAUACAUCUAACAAAAAACAUGUUAUAGAUUUCCUGUUUUUAACAACCAAAGUUCAUUGUGUACCGCUAUAAUUCUGUUACGGUGCUGAUUGCAGAUUGAAAGCAUGGAUGCUUUGUUUGAAGCACAAUUUUCACCUUUGGCAGACUCUGGGCGCCUACUGAGCAAGUGCGGAAAAUGUGGUCGGUAUAUGAAAUACAUUUCCACUCAGCCGAUGAGGUUGUACUGUAUAACUUGUGAGGAUGUCUAUUAUCUUCCUCAGAACGGUUCGAUUAAGGUAAUUACUUUACCUUUAUUUAUUUCUUGGUAAAUCAGUUGCUUUACUUCCAUGCAUGGUUCAUGAGAAUUGAACCACUAGAACCACGUAUUACAUUCAUGGAACCCUUGUAACUAUUCUCUGGCCAGCAUUCCCUUUCAAUGGGGAAAAAGGUUCUUGCAGAACAGCUAAAAUGUGGUGAUCCCAUACUUUGUAAUUUUUAGGUUUUUGUUAUUAAUUGCCGUGAUUGUCAUAACCUGAUUCUUAUUCCAUUUGGUUUCCCUAAUUUUGUGUUCAUCAGUUUUUUCAUGCCAUGUUGGAUUCUAAAAGCAUGUAUCCCAUUAUCCUCUGUGUUUUAUUAUGCCAAGCUCCCAGUUUGAUGCCUUAAUAAUUCUAUCCUUUCCAGCUUUACAAGGAAAUCAUAUGCCCUCUUGAUGGUUUCGAGUUGCUUCUGUUCUCAAUGGUCGGACCUGAUGCAAAAUCUUUUCCGCUGUGCCCCUUUUGCUAUACUAAUCCUCCAUUUGAAGGCAUAGACAAACUCUUUGGUGCUCUCAAGAUAGAUGACACUGGCAAGGUUGCGAAAGGGGCUGGCAUGCCGUGUUGCCUUUGCCCGCACCCGACAUGCAAGCAAUCUAUGAUCACUCAAGGAGUUUGUGCCUGUCCUGAGUGUAGCGGUACCCUGAUUCUUGAUCCAGUUAGUGCACCCAAAUGGCGGCUUUACUGCAACAUGUGUAACUGCAUUGUAUUACUCCCACAUGCCGCACAUAGGAUCAGCACUACAGAUAAAAAGUGCCUAACAUGUGAGUCUACUAUCAUUGAAGUUGAUUUCAACAAGAAAACCACCCCUCUUCAAGAUGGAGCUACAUUGCAUGAGGGUUGUAUCUUGUGUGAUGAUCUGUUGCAUUCACUCAUUGAAAUGAAGCAUGGGAAGUCAUUCUUUAUGCGGAGAGGGAGAGGGAGAGGGAGAGGGAGGGGCCGGGGCAGAGGAAGUAGCCGUGGUAGGGGAAGACGAGGGAAUUCAAGGUAUGAUGAUCCUAAAAUGAGCUUCAGAGAUUUUUAAAGAUUUUGGGGCUUCUCUACAGUGGCAAGCUGAUCUGUGAGUAUCCUAAAAUAAGCUUCAGAGAUUUUUGAAGAUUUUGGACGUCGACGUUGGUCACUAAUAUGUAUGUAUGGACUUCGACGUUCUGCAAUAUCACUGUUUGUAUUUUACUUUCUUGCAUAGCCACAUCUUGUUAUCUGUCAUAGAUUUCUAGCACAGAUUAUUAAACUAUGUAUUUCUAGGUUAGUUCUUUAAACCAAAUGCAAUGAACAACAAUGCAGUACUGAAUUGUCCAGAAAUCUGAUGCACCUGAAGCAUCUGUUAGUUUAGUUUGCAUUGACUUAGAUAGUUGAGAUGCACAAAAAGAUGAUUACCACAUACAAAAGCCAACAUACAUGUCCCUACAGAUUUUUUUAUUUCGUAAAAAAUAAAAAAGAAAGGAUACGCUUCUAUUUAUAUUGUACUUAAAGUACAUUUGUUGACAUUGGAUUUUGGAAGAAUUAGGCAAGUGUUGAUGAAGCAUGGAUUAUUUGUUUCUUAUUUUACUGUACACAAUUUUAAAUAUACCCUUUGAGGUACUCUUCUUUAAGACGAAAUCAGGGAAGGUCUCUCCCUCUGGCCAUGGAUUUUUUAUAUUUUUGGUUCCCUACUCUGUCUAAGUAGGGCUUUUAUUUGAAAUAAGUAUUUGUCCAUAGCCGCCUUCAAUGGUCAUUUGCAGGCCUGCUUUCUUCUUUAACACUAUGACUUCUAAAGUCCUAAACCAUGCUUAUGAAGGAAUGCUACCAUCUUCUGCAGCUUUGUCUUUGCAUUCAGUGAACCCCCCAGAAUGGAGUAACUAUAUUAUUCAAAACGUGACUUGGGAGUUAGCUGCUGUCACACAUCUUUGUGCAUCAAACGCAUUCCAAUUUCCAUGCAACAGGACAGUAAAUCUGAGUUUUGGUUUCAUGUUUUGGAUAGAACCAGUUACAUAAAGUAGUUUAGGCAUAUAGAUAUAUUUACCCUGUUGAACAAAAUGAAAGAGCUAGAUCAACUCAAUUGUUGUGCUGCUACCAGGACUCAGGAGUAUUGUUUUGUUAAAAGAGAAGGAACCUAGUACCAAUCAUUGACAGUAGGACCUACAGUUGAAGGUUGGUUAGAAUUGAGAACUUCUAGCUCAAUAUGACUAAGGCACUUAUCAGCCCACAAACUGAAAUGCAGCUCAACAAACUCCUGCACUCUUAGCAACAUACUCCCUCUGUCCGAAAUUGUAGGUCGUUUUGGCAUUUCUAAGUUCAUAACUUUUGCUAUGCAUUUGGAUAUACACUAUGUCUAGAUACAUAGUAAAAGCUAUGAAUCUAUAAAUGCCAAAACGAUCUACAAUUUGGGACGGAGACAGUAGUUGAUACCUAAUUGCUUCUUCUGAGCUGAUGCGAUCCUUCUAGAUGGACUCUCGAUGAUAAUAGAAGAAAAGGAUGGUUAUUCCUAUAUUGUUGCUUUGCCCUUACUGCACAAGUAUAGUUUCGAGGUGGCAUAUUAGUAUUUGACAUUCAUUGGUUGAUGUUGUGCUUCGUCUUCAACAGAGCACUGGUAACAAAGUUAUACAGCUCAGCUCUCCACUUGACUUAUCGCUUCAGGUUGUCCCAAGCCCCUGUACCCACCAACUGAAGAUGGGCGCUUAAAAGUUCACUUCAAGUUCAAGGAAACUGAGCAGAGUACAACCCAAACGGACCGUGUGAACCCUAAUGAACGAAGGGUCGUAUUCACAGAACCAAUUCGAAAGGUAGCCUGUAGCUUUGUGGAGGGAGCAAAGCAUUUUAUUGGAACCUGAAAACCAGACAGGAAACAGGGAAAGGGUGCCUUUGUGAUCAUGUGGGAUCUGAUACGUCAAUGAGACUGAACCCAAUGAUGCAAGUCUUUGCUCGUAUUGUAUUGAUGCGGUAAAUCAUGCUGGCAAAAUGGGAAUAAUUUGAACUUGGUUUGAUCAUAGACAUUUAGAGUUGUUCCAGCUUCCAAGCAUGAACUUUCUAUGAUGUGGUAGAUCGAGCAGGUGAAUUACUGGAAAAUACUGGCAACCAAUUCGUUGCCGGGAGAAAUUGCUAGGGAACUGAUUGACCUAUCAUUUGAUUUUGAAGUGGCAGCAAGAUGUCACUUUCCACCAUCAGAAAAGGGGUGCCUUGUGCACCUGAAAGUGGUUUACCAAAGCUGGAAGCCACGGCUUUUCAUGUAGCUUUGUUUAUUUCUCUAGGAGGGAAUCCAGUAGCUGCAAAAAUCAUAAUUUUGGGUUACAAAAGAGCCGGUUGAGGAAAGAUAAAGGACCAAAUAUUCUUUGAUUUCCAAUUGAUAGUAACAAAUACGCUUUCAUCCUUUAUGCUUCUUUUUUUUGAAAAAAAAUCUUCUUAAAGUGAUCCUAUAAAAAGGACAAACAAUGAUGGAUUAGACAUCAUGAUUUAUGCCAUUCUCCUCUAAAAGAAUUCAGGGGCAUGAGUUAUACAGCUAGGUGCAUUUCUUGUCCCCCGUUGCAUUCGGUACGGCAGGAAAGUGAUAGCAAGAGCGCAGGAUAUGUCGCAGUACAGCGUACAGGAUUGGGGAUUGUACUACAAGCCGAUCGCAAAGAGAAGAUAUUGCCGUAGUACAAGGUAGCCGCGCGGACCAUUAUCUUAGAGGUUCAGUUUCGAACACUUGUUCGGCUGACUCAGGCAGGACACCUCCGAUGGCGAUGCUUUUUCAUACCAGAAACCUUCCCCUUUCAGCUUCACCAACCACCAUGGUCCACAGGGAGCAGACUGCGCAACUUCAGCAAAAAAGUGGCGUCCGGCAUGGGGCAUGAACGCCAAGUGCAUGAUCGGCGCGAAUCCUCCCGGACAAGGGGACCCCGAGCGUUUGCACACUGCACGCCCCGUUCUAGAAGCUCGAAACCAGCAAGGUGAUGGAACACUACACCAUGCAAAAACAAAAUUGUACAAUACACGUUCACUCACUACAGCUCAAGCUACAGCGCAAGUGGCAACGUACAUAUACACACCGUACCAAAAAAAAAGAAGACAUACAGGCAGGCCAAAAUCACGGGAUCUCACUCUAUACCUAGUGCCAUCUGCCCGUAGCUAUACACGCCACUGAAGGUGGAUGCAGAUGCCUGAGAAACUUUCACGCCGUGACGCCGAGCGAUCAGUGGGGCAGGUGGCCAUUGGAGGCGGCGCUGCUGCUGAAGGUCUUGCCCUCGGCCUUGCGCCGGCGGACGACGACGCCCCAGGUGACGGCCUCCAGCGCGGCGGCGGCGAUGGCCAGCACGCAGACGGCGGCGAUGUACGCGGUCCUCCACCGCUGCUCCACGCCCAGGAUGCCCAUCCCCUUGAAGAUGUUGACGACGCCCAGCAC
RNAcentral lists this long non-coding RNA (56972 nucleotides) under Setaria viridis. Its description in RNAcentral is "long non-coding RNA (SVIR_LNC002291)". Lineage: Eukaryota; Viridiplantae; Streptophyta; Magnoliopsida; Poales; Poaceae. The record is from RNAcentral.